Molecule: long non-coding RNA, 63049 nt
Filed under: Brassica rapa (field mustard)
Lineage: Eukaryota; Viridiplantae; Streptophyta; Magnoliopsida; Brassicales; Brassicaceae
Description: long non-coding RNA (BRAP_LNC002157)
Source: RNAcentral
UGCUUGAUGCUAUGAAUAUGAUCAAGUGGCAGAGUUUCAACUUCCCAACAGAUGUGAUGUUGAGUGGCCAGAGACUAGACGUGGCUACGCAACUAACUUCAUUCCCAAAAGACUCGACUAUGUUCUACUCUUUUGAAGUUCUACGCGACAAGAUUGCUCUAUUCCUCAACUUGGACAAGCUCAAGUACUCUUACUGGGAGUACAAACCUAUAGAGAACAAAACAGUCAACUUCUUGAGAUUAGGGGCAAAGGGUCUUGACAUAUUUGAUGAUAACAGCCAUAGAAUAGGGAGAAUAGAGCAACCUUUGACCAGGUUCUUGGCUAUUGGAAACAUAACCGGUAAUCUAGGUCUUUACUCGUAUAAACCGGACAAGGGAAAGUUCGAGGCAACGUUUCAAGCUUUGAGCAACACGUGUGAUCUUCCUGUAGCGUGUAAACCAUAUGGAAUCUGCACAUCUUCCAAGUCUUGUUCUUGCAUUAAAGUUAUGAGCAAUGGAGACUGCAACAGCAACGAGGAGGAAUGGCUUUCGAUGAAGAGGCUAUGCGAUCACGAGAUGGUUGAGCUAGAAGGAGUCACGACGGUGCUGAGAAACGGUACUGAGGCGAGGAACGUGAGCAAAGAAAGAUGUGAGGAGUUGUGUAAGAAAGACUGUGAGUGCAGAGGGGCGAGUUACUCUGUCUCUGAAGAGAGUUGUGUGAUGUAUGGGGUUGUGAUGGGUGUUAAGGAGAUUGAGAGAGAGAGUGGGUUGAGUUAUAUGGUGAAGAUACCUAAAGGAGUGAGGUUGAGUGAUGAGAAGUCUAAUGUGAGAAAAUGGGUUGUGGGGUUAGUUGGAGGGAUUGAUGCUCUGGUCAUAUUGCUGCUUCUGUCUGGUUUUGGUUUUUAUUACAUUAGGAAGCGACGGAAGAGCUUAUCACAGCCACAGCCACAGCUUCAGGAAGAGCCCAUUGCAGAAUAGAUUUUCAGAGUUGUUGCACAUGCAAACUUUGAUACCAUUUUAUAGGUUGACAUAUAAAAAAAAAGUUGUAAUGUAUUGAGAUCAAAUUGUAGAAAAUUUUAUUUUUUGAAGUUUAUAUUCCAUAAAAAAAUGAGUUAUAUGGUGAAGAAAGUGAAAAUGAAAGCAGAGGAAAUGGUAGUGGUCAGAAGAUAGGAGGAGGUCAUCAGUAUACACUGGUUCUUGAAAAGACUAACAAUGGAAGAGAUAGAAGUGCUGAAGGGAAGAAAAAUGGUGUGAAAAACCACAAAAAUUAAACUCAAGAAACUAGAAAUUAGAGAGGAAACAAAACAUCUUUAUUCAAAUUUUUUUCUAUCAAUGAUGUGAAUAAUAAUUUACAAAUCCUUAGAUCCUUAUUUAUAAUCCUAAAAAAAUGAUUUUCUUUUUACCUAAAAAAGAAUUUCUAGAAGUUAUUUGUGAAGUUUUGAACAAAGAGAACAAGAACAAUAAGAAUGAAGAUAAUUUGAACUUAAAAUAGAACACAUAACUGUUGUAAUAACAGAUUGGUUUCUUUUUCUUUAAGAACUCGUACAGCUUCUGUGUUCUGACUUUAUCAAGGGAAGAUCAAAACAAAAGAGAUUUCAUUCAUCCAAUUCCAGCUCUCAGUUGAUAAAACGUAAAGGAACCAAAAAUAAAAUAGUUUUUAAGUUGGGAAUAUUCGAAUUAUCAAGGUGACGUGGAGGGAUAAUUGCUUGUCGUUAGAGAUAACUUCUCUUCAUUAUUAUUUGACCUUCUCUGCUCUUAUCAUAACGCCAUCUCGACCAAUUCUCGACGGAUCUGCAAACUCUUUUUCAUUCCAUCUCCUUCCUCUCUGUCGAUUUUUCAGACAAAAGGUAAAAGCUUUCUCUUUUAAAUCCCCGGUUGAAUCUUCUUUUGGAUCUCAGAAGGUAAAGAGUCUUACACUUCGAAUCUUCUAACCUUUCCCCAGGAUUAAUAUCAAUGGGACCCAAAGCUGGAACCUUUGUUCUUUUCUUGCUGGGUUUGACCUUUCUUUCUGACGCUAGAUCCUUCCUUCACCCCACCCUCUCAGGUAACUAAUCUCGAGUAAAACACCAUCUCUACUCAUGCUUGAUUGAUUUGCACCUUAAAGUUCAGCUUUUUAAAUGAAAGAGUUGGCUUCUAUGGCUUCGGCUAGACAUUAAUUGAAUAUUUCAAUCUCGUCAUCCCUGUAAGAAUGGGUUUAGAUAGUGUAAUGAAAGCUCUGGAUGGUCUUAAAAAUCUCAAAAGACUUUUCUUUUUGCGCAGAGGAAGUUACCAAGAAUGAAAACGUUUGCACUCUUUGUGAGGAGUAUGUUACCUCUGCCCUCACCUACCUUGAGAAAAACGAAACACAGACUCAGAUACUAGAGGACCUUCAUGAUCGGUGUUCCCUUAUCCGCGGAUUUGAGCAGCAGGUUUGUUUCUGUUUCUGUUUCUUCUGUGUGUUAGUAUAUAAUAGUAACAAAAGUGUGUUUUGAAUUUUGAUGCAGUGUAUAACUUUGGUUGACUACUAUCUCCCUCUGUUCUUCUUGCAUCUCGAGUCCUUUCAACCUCAUUAUUUCUGCAAGAGGAUGAAUCUCUGUGGUCACGUCGUUGCUCUUGUUAAAGAAGCUCGUCAGGAUACUUGCGGUGUUUGCCACAGGACUGUUUCUGAGAUUCUCAUCAAACUACAAGAUCCUGACACACAGGUUUAGUAGAAACUAGUAGUAACUACAAGAUUUGUGUAGUUGAGCCUUACUGACUUUGUUUUCUGUUUGAUUAUCCAGCUGGAUGUAAUUGAGCUGCUUCUUAAGGGAUGCAAAUCGUUCAAAAACUAUGAAUACGAGAAGAAGGUUAGGAUCCAAUAUUUAAGAAUUCAAUUGCAUGAUCCUAGUAGUUAGCGUAGGCUUUUUCUCAUUUUUUAAAGUCUUGUUGUGUCUUAUGUUGUGACAGUGCAAGAAGUUGGUGUUCGAGUAUGGACCUUUGAUCCUCGUAAAUGCAGAGGAGUUUCUUGUGAAAAACGACAUCUGCACACUCUUACGCGCGUGUCCGAACAAGCAAACGGUUCUAAGGCUGCCAGGGUUGGCGGAUUCUUGAAUGCUUUAAAACGGUGGUGGUGGUGGUAGGAACACAAAAAAGUUGCUCGUGUAUUUGUCCAUAAGAAUUUGUCCCAAAGGCUUUGUGAACUUGGAUUUAGACACAAGACUCUCCUUAAAAAACUGUUUAUUUUGCGUUUUGUGUAAAUAAUGAUCGUUUGCUACAAUUGUAUCUACAUCACCAUCUGCUUGUAUUUUACCAAAAUAUACUCUUUUUCUUCUUUUUACUCUCACGUUUCUUUGUUCCAUGUUUUAACUUGAUUUUUUUGUUGCCUUCACAACAUUUAUAGAUAGAUUUAUUUAACUAAAAGUUAUUUAUUUGUUGACGUCAAAAUUAAAAAAGAGUUAUUUAUUUGUUUUUGAUUGAAGAGCUGAAAAAUAGACAAGAGAAGUGCAUGAUGGAUUCAAGUUUAGCCUGGACUCUGGAGAAGAUUUCAAAUUCACAAAGAAGCCAAAAAAAAACAAAACAAAGAGUUUCUCUAAGAGAACUGAGAAGCACAAAAAUCACAAGUCCUAGCAACAGAGACGAUGGAAAUGACGUGUGGUUGAAGUCUUCUUCAGUCAAUCACAGAGUGGAUCAGCAUGGAUGCUUCCCCUGUCGUUGGAACUUCAAUAUCGUCUGCUUUUUACAACAAAUAAGGUUCUUAUUAUAAUUAAAAACCAAGUUAAUUAACUACUUCAAAUCCUUUUCAAACCUUGAAAGCUUACACUAUUUCUUUUAAAAGAUUCAACGCUAAACAUCUAGAUUUCACAGAAGCAUCCAACUAAUUACAGGAGUGAAGACUGAAGAGACACUAUAUGGUGAAUACUUUCCACAAAUGGAACAUGUAAGCCGAAUCCUAAAUGAGAAAUAGACAUACGCCUAGUGUCAGGACCAAAUAUGGAGUUUAUGUCUUGAAACUGAACAAAGGCGUACCUGGCAGAUGAGAAAUAAUAUUUUCCAAGAUUCCAGCACCUGAACUCUCUUUCUUCUUCUCAUGAUCUUCAUCUUCACAUUCAGAUUUUGGCAUGUUUUCACCAGAUUUGUCGUUUACUGUUGUUGUUGUUGUACCAAUCAAGUUGGAUAUCAGAUUGUUCAAAACCCCACCAUAACCAUUAGCUCCCUUCUCUUCCUCUUCUUCUGUUUUUUGUUUGAUACGUGAGAGGUUGUCUGCUUCUGGUAAUCCCUCUUCCAUUUUUUCCUUAUGGCGGUGUCAUUAUACACCUGGUUAAAGUAACCUCUUUAUCCAGCCAAAGCACUGAAUAAAUAAAUGGACUAUGUUUUGUAUUGAAUCAAGUACAGUGUUAACAAACAUUGUAUAUAUCCAAAAGAAAGACAAUAUGUUUAUCCAAAAAGGGUCUGAGAUAAUCCUGAAAGACACGACACGUCUACUAUUCGAGACAAGUAGCCAUGUACUUCUUACACGUACCUCGUAACUUGUAGUGUACGGUGUACCCAUAUAUUACAUUACACAUGUCCUCUAAAGAUUGAUAUUUUUAUCUCAUUACACACACAUCCCUUGUGCCAUUCUUAACAUUUUGUAAGAAUAAUUCUAAUUCUUAAACAUUAGACUAGUACAUGUUAUUCGGUGGUUAUAGGGAUUUGUUAACAUGUGUUUGAACUCUCAGAGAUUUAAGGUUUUUUUUCAAGUUGGCUAAAAGGCGUUAUGUUUAUACAUGAUAGUGUUAUUAACCACCUUAAUAUAAUAGUCUAACAACAAGAACUUUACUUAAACUAGUUAUCUUUUGUAAUAAACUUUGGUUGCGAAAAUGCGUUGUUGACUCCACAAAUCCUGUGCUUAGUGCUCCAAGGCAGCAACAACACAUGCAAGCCACAAGCUUUCGGUGAGAAACAAGAUUGCUUCACCGUUGCAGUCAAAUAAGAGAGGCUCUUCUUCUUCCUCUGGCUAGCCGCUGAUGUUACGGCUGCUAGAGCCGCUACAUCCGGCAGAAACUGCUCUAUUAUGUAGCUUGACGAUAUGUCUUCGCUUCUCUCUGUGCUCGCCAUAGUUGAGAAAUAGAUAAGCAGAAAAGGUUAACUCUCAAACCAUGUGGUUGUAAAAAAAAAAAAAUUAAUAAUAAUAAUAAAACCAAAAGAAUAGCUUAACCCAAGAUGUUGGAAAUGUAAAUGAAUAGUAUCUUUGUUUUCUUGUUUCACGAGGAUAAAAAAACAUCCCUGGAUGCUUUGAGAAUCAAUACAAGAAGCAUCUAAAAGUGGAGAAAGUUACAGAUACAAUUACAUAAUUCCAGUAAAGGAAAAAAAAAAGAAAGAAACAAUAAUACAUGUAGAAAUAGGACAGUAGAAGAAGUCCAGUUUCACCAGAGGUAAAGUUCUUCUUUCUGGUUUCCCCUUUUAGGUCAAGAAAACGUAUUACCUUUAGCAGCAAGAAACACUCUUUGCUCUGCUAUAGUAUCCCCACCUCCCCCCCAAUAACCAAAAUUAAAGAAAAAUAUAGUUUAUAAGAGUUUCUAUUUACAUGGCUAUGCUUCAUCUUCAUCUUAUUCUUCUCUGUUCACUCAAGCCAAACCUUGUUGUUAAGGAUAUGAAACAGUGUAGAAGCAUACCAGGAGGUAAGAAGAGAAGAGACUUGCCCACCAAACAAAAUGGUAGUCUUGUUCUACUUUUGGUCGGUAGCAUUUGUUUCACGAGCUUUGUGGUAGAGAUCGAGUGUAUCAGCAUGACUUGGAUCAAUACACAAUGCUGCUUCACAAUCUUUGAUAGCAGAUGCUCCCUCUCCCAUGGAAUCAUAAAACGCUGCCCGUAGAUGCAACAGCUGCAGAUCUGGUUUAAAUGAUAUCGCCUUCGAAAGCUCCUCUAUAGCUUCAUUUUCUUUAUGGUCGUCCAUAAGAACUGCAAACCAAGACUUCAAGUAUAAAACAAAACCAUCAUCAUAUCAUUCUAGCUUUUGUAAUUAGCGGUACCUGCAGCUCUGUAUCUGUAAGGAUAAGUACGGAGAGGGUCUAGCUCUGUAGCCAGGCUAAGGUCGCUUUGUGCCAUUUCGCGGUCACAAUACUCAGAACGCUUCUCGUACGCCGACGCAUUGUUCUGAGCCUUCUCUAUCAGCUUUGUCAUCUCAUCAUAAGCAGCUUUACGCUGAUUUUUCAGAUGAUAAACACGAGCAAGGCCUUGGUGCGCUCGUGUGUGCUUGAUGUUGAGCGCGUUCGUGUAGCAAUCAGCUGCAAGAUCCAGCUUAUCACAGUCCACAUAUACGCUCCCCAGGUUGUUCAAAGCCUGCAAGAAGCAAAAACGCACCAAAUAAAAAACUCUGCGACCACCUUCGAGUAAUCAACAAUUUUUUUAAUACUUACUUGUCCCUUACGGAGAGCAUCAGAGGGGCAACGAAGUGCUUCUUCAAGAAGCUGGAUAACGUACUCCGAGGACUUGGGGUCGAGCGUAGAGUCUGCGAGGGCGUAAGCUUUGAGAAAAAACACUUCGAAAGAUCUUUGAAUCGAAAUAGACUCCUCAGCUUUAGCCAAGGCUUCUUCACGGUGGCCAGUAUCAUACAGUAUCCAUCCUUCAUACACAAGUCUCUCAUGCUUCAACUUUGAAUGGUUUCUAGCCAGCCUUAGACUCCGCAUCGCUGCCUUUUGACAAUUUAGCCUGUCAAGUAAUGAAAACCAAUCACCUCGUUAAAAUAAAAUAAAGAGUUCACUGAGAAGCGUUGAUGAGAGAGGUUAUACCGUAGCAGAAGAAGAGACUGUCUGAACCGCAAAAGACUAUUCCCAGGAUCAUGUGCAAGCAUAUCAUGAACAACUGCUAGAGAUCCAAUAUCAUCCACAGAAGACCAGUGAUCAAACAGCUGCAUCCAGCAAUCAGCUUGGCUUCUCUGAUGAGCCAGAGGACGGAGCAGCUCCACCAUAUGAUCACCAUGGAUCUUACCGUUAAACAUCAUAAAGUUGGGCUCCAAGGUCAGAAGCGCGCGGAUAUCUUUCAAAGCACCCUCGUAAUCCUCCUUGCCUAUAGAAACCCACGCCCUCAUCUCCAGACAGUCAGGAGAGGCCUUGAAUCCAAGAACCUUGUUCAGCUCCGAGAUGGCAGCGUUAAACUGAUUCUCCUCCACCAACGCCACUGCUCUAAACUUGUAAGGGAACGUCAGAGUCGGGUCUAACUCGGUUGCUGUAUCCAAAUCAAGCAGCUUCUCUUUACCGCUGCAGUACAAGGACCUCUCCUGGUGCAUCCACCCGGUAGCCGCCUUGUGAUCCGAGAUCAGCGAGUUGAUGAUCUUGUAAGCAGAGUAUCUGUGAUCACGCUUGAACUUAGACCUAGCUACCCCCACGAGGGAGUAAAGAUGACCUGCCUCGACCGCUGUGUUGAACGCUCUCUGAGCGUCUUUAUACUCUUUCCUCUCAAGCAUCACAACGCCUAGCUGGUGGUAGGCGAGCUGCUUCUCCCAACUCUCCACCGCGCAUUCGACCAAACGCUCCAAUAUCAUCACGGUCGUGUUGGACUUCGUAUCGUCUUCCAUAGCAAUCUGGCUUAAGAAGAAGUACAACGCAAAAGAAGCGUGGCCGAGAGACGCCAACCUCUCCCUUCCCUCAACGCUGCAGAAGAUCUUUAUAACGUUAGGGUUAUGCAUAGAGCUCGGCAGCUCCCUUAGGAAAACCUGGAGACAAGCCGCCACGAGAAGGUACGCAGACUCUUCUAAUCCAUACUCAAUCAACACCAUCGCCUCGUCAAGAGUACUAACGAGACGCGCCAAAUGCGUAUCGCAACAAGACUUCAACUCAUCGCAGCAGAACCUAUUCGCCAGCUUGAGCAGCUCCAAGACAACGUUAGGAGGAAACUCAUCUAGCCUCUUCGUCCUGCUGAACACCUCCGCAGCUCUCAUCCCUUCCACAGAGACUCCGUUCUGCGUGAAGCUGAUCGUCCCAAGCUUCGUUUCUCUAAACCCUCCGUACAGCAUAGCCUCGAAAGGUCUAGACAAGGAAGCUAUCUUGUAACGCACGCAACGAACCUCCUCGUCGCCUAUACAAAAGGACAUAUCAUACUCAAACGCAAACGCAAACGCUUCAUCAGAAGUCGAACAUUCAGCAACACCGUUUGAUCCGGAGCAUCGACACGGAUCGUAAACGGUUACCGGGUCAUACCCGGGGACAAGACUCGCCUUCGGACAUUCUAAAUUUCUCCCGCAGCAAUCCAUAGAGCAGGUUCCUAUCAACUCGUCCUCCCUCCUCUCGAACCUAAGCCACGAAGACAACACGACCUUCGCGUGGACGUCAACAGCGUGCUGCCUCGAUGACCGGAGACUCCGCCGGAAAAGCUUCGGAUCGGACAAGCCUCGGAAGACGGCGCAUUGCUCUAAAAAGGCUCCGGAUCUCUCGAGAUUCGUGGAGGCGGCGACGCGGCGGUAGACCUCCGCCAUCUUCUCCACCAAGUCGGGGAAUUUUAAGGAAGGAUCGAUCUGAGGCUCGAGGAGGUCGGUGACGGGGAGGCCGUAAGGGAGGAGGAGGGAGGAUUGGUGGUACGUGCGGCUUGAUUUGGAUCGGAUUGAGUUUACGCGGAGGUGGUCUUGAAGAUGCUGGAGAAGCUUGUCACCGACUCCUCCUCCAGGCGGAGGGUUGAGAGCGUAGACUUGCGUGCCUUUACAACCUUCGGCAAGUUUUAAACUUCGCAUCGUGGUGAAUGGGUUGUGAUGCAUCUCUUUCAAUUGAGCGGAAACCCAGAUCGAAAUGGAUAGGCUUUCGGAUUCAUGUCAACGGGUUACGAAGAUCUGAGAUGUGGGUUUCGGUCAAAAGUAACGAAAUGGUUAUAAAAAUGUGAUCUUUCGUCACGAAAUUUGAAAAAAGUUUAACGAAGCUCGCGCUUGCUUGCUUAUCCUUCUUCUUCUACGUCGUCGUCUUCGCAGAGAUUGUUUUUUUUUUUGGCAGUGUCUUCUCUCAGGUUCGUUUAUUCUUUGUUGCCACUAAUUUACGAAUCUUUCCGUAAAAAUAGAUAGAGAGAAAGAGGAAGAUUCUUCCUCCGUUCGACCGCUCUCUGUUUUGGUUUUUUGUUUUUUUUUCUUACCCUUUAAUUCGUUUCUAAUAAUAAUGUAAAAAUUUAAUUAGAUUGCUCUUUAAUUUAUGUGUAUUUGUGGCAUCUUUUUUUUAUUCGAAUGUUUUUCGCUUUUUUGCCUUUUUAGUUUUUUGUCCUCUUGUUAGCUUUUUUGAAAGUAAUUGAUUAGUUUAUCUCCAUUUUAUUAGUUUAAACUCUAAUUAUCCUCUUCAUCUAUAAGUUAAAGACGUUAUCAGUGAUGUAAACGAGGGAAUGGUAGACUCUCUUUCUCUCUUUGAGAGAUAAGAGAAUCACAGUGGUUCUUUUUUCAAACAAUGGGUAUCGUCUCUGGUAUACGGUAGUCUUUUUGAUGGUAUGUAGCCGACUUUGUUUCUGGUAGUUCGCGCUCCUUUUAGCGGAACUAUCCGACGUUUGUAUCAUGCGUUGUAACUCUGAUGGAGUUGCAAGUUGUCUUUCGGGAUCCAGUAAAGCUCCAGAGCCGUACGUCUUCGAUGGGGGUGGCUGGCUAAAGUAUCAGAUGAUCGGGUUGGUGUUGUUUGGUUUCCUCGGGAGUGCUGGGUUCGUUAUGGUGAUUGUGAACCUGAGCUUGGAUGAGAUCUCGAUUACAUUCGGUUGAAACUCUCUGUCGCUCAGGCAUACAGUUUGAAAAGGCUGAUUCCAUUAAACCUCUAAUACAGUCGUUGGAGGCGGUUUCGGUGGCUCUAGUUAAAGUCCCAGUGAUUCCGGUGUUAAAGUGAUUUGGUUUCUCUCUGGUGAAGAUUUGUUUGUCGGUAAAGACGGUGGGCCUCAAGUUUUCGGUGUGAUUCCGGAUGAGGGUCGUUUAGCGGUUCCAGUGGAGAGGGGGAGGUGUCCAGACCUUUGCCACGUGUUUCCUCGUUCUUGCGCGAUCCCACACGUGGUGGAAAAGGAGGUCAAAGUUUGGGCCGAAUCUUUUUUCGUUCUGAGCUUUUGUAAAUUGGUUUGGUUUUAUGGUUGGGCUUUUGGACCCCUGUGUUUUUGGCUUUGCCCUUUAGGCAUCAACUCUUAUAAAUAAAACUAGACGAAAAAAAAGAGUUAAAGACGUUAUCAUUUUUUUUUGACAACAUCAACUAAAAAACUAACUAGAAACUCCAAGCAGUCUAGCAAGCCAAACCGGUGGGAUUGAAUCGACAUAAAGCAAAGCUGAAGGAGAACUUCUCGCACCGCGUGCAAGCUUGUCCGCCAAGGUAUUUUGUGCUCUAAGGAUAUGUCUGAUCCGAAAGUGAGGGAAGAAAGUCUUAUUGCGGUUGAAUUCUUCUAUGUAUGCAGAGAAAGCAUGCCAUUCAUCAUGUGUCGACACCAUCUUCACCAACUGAGAACAAUCCGUCGCAAACACUACGUCAGAAACUUGGAGGGUCUUCAUACAUUCCAUUGUCCAAAUUAGUGCUUCAAACUUAGCAUGCAAAGGUGACAGACUUCUACGAAGAUUUAUUGCCCCCAUCAUGACAUCAGUCGAGCCACUCUUUCUGCAAAACCACCCUUAUCCCGUAAAUAUGUCUUCCUCUUUCCAAGCUCCGUCAAUAUAACAAACUCUAGAAACUUCCAGGGCUAGGGCCGCAGAUUGUUGUAAACUCCCACUUAGGCAUGGGCAAUCGGGUGACCAUUCGGGUUCGGAUCGGUUAUAAUCGGGUUUCGGUCUUUCGGGUUUACAAAAAACAGUCCCAUUCGGUUUUUAUAAAAAUUCAGGUCGGUCUCGGUUCGGGUUUUGUCGGGUUCGGGUCGGGUUUGAGAACACAUCCUAAACCCGGUUGAACCCAUUUAAUUUUCGGGUUAGGUUCUAAACCGGGUUUCGGGUAUCCCUAUUUCUCAUAAUACCUGAAAGUUCUCAUUUCACCCGAAGGUCCCAUACACCUGCGUUUUAUUUCAUGGACCAUUUACAAACAAUGUAACGCUUAAAAGGACAAUACAAAGUAAAACACUUGCAGACUCUAUUAGGAAAAUACAAAGUAUCCACACCUAUCUGGUGUUUCAUAGUUCUCGUAUUCAUCUCCAUCUUGAUUCUCAGCUCCACUGUUUCGUGUGUUCUUAGAUGCCGAUGAAUUCAUCUGCUAAGAAGUGACAAACAAUAGCCAGAUUAAACAAAAUAAGCUAUCACAUAAACAGCUCUCAAAGAUGUUUUGGAACAUGAAAAAAAAAACGAAACAUCAACAUCAUCACAUACACAUGAACAAAACAAUCAUCUUUAAGCAAGAGUCAACAUAAAUAAAACGUCACUGUUUAUAGGAAAAUGAAACAAUUGCAGACGAUAAACAAAUAUACAUUAUGCUUUUGUCAUAAGUGAAACUAAAAACAAUCUUAAUUCAAGUAGACAAGAAUUAUACAUAACACUUACGGGUUUGUCUCAAACUCUCAGUUUCAGUACAAAAAUUCAUAGAAAAAACCAUCACUAAACAUGAACAUCACCUAAGUCUAUGAAUUAAGAACAUAAGACGUCAUUCUGUUCAUAAAAAAAAAGCUGAAUAUGAACCCGACAAACCCGACAAACCCGAAUGACCCAGAAACCCCACAACAUCUAGCCAUUACUCGAUUGCAGAGAAGAGGAGGAAGAGUAUCUCACCUCUUAGUGAUUUCGUCGAAGGAGGAGAGGAGUUUUGGUGUUUUGUACCUCGGUGAGAGCGUAACUUAUAUAAGAAAGGAGAUUCUAGGGCUUGCAAAUCGCACAACUGAUUGGAAUAGAAAUCGGAGAGGAUAUGUUUAGGAAAGAGGAUCAUGAUAUAGGGAAAUCUCGAUCUUUAGGAAGUUAUGGUGAAAUUCUCUGAAAAUUUUAACAGGAUCAAAUGAAAUCAGAAAGGGGAAACAAUGAAAUCCUAUACCUAGGUAGCUUGAUGCUCGGGUACCCAUUUACCCGAUCGGUUUGGUGCUAUUUACCCGACCCGACCCAUAACCCAUUAUACCAAAAUUAUGUGAUCAUUCGGUUAUUUUUCAAGAUCCGAACCCGUUCGGUUGAUCGGGUUCGGUUUUAAUGCCCUGGCCUAUUCCCACUAUAGGAAUUCUCCACAGGAACAUUCACGGUUAACUGUGCCUCCAUCCAUAUCUUACUUUCCACAUCGGUCAUUUGCAAUAUCUCAUGUGGAUUGCCAUUUUUGUUUGAAUAAAUCUUGUUAUUUCUAAUCUUCCAAAUAUAUUAUAAUAUCCAUAGAUAAUAAUUAAAAAAAAUUAUUUUGGUAGUCUCCAUAAUAGAUCAUUUAUAUUUGUGAAAAUGGACAACGAUGGAAAGAUCGCUGGAGAAGAAAGAAUCCUAGAAAGUGUCCUUGUUUAUAAAGCUGGAGGACACUCGAAGAGUACUUGAUUCCUCUUCUGGUCCACACAUACUACACCGUGUAUCACAAACAAUCUCUCCAAUUGUAAAAAAUUUUAAAACUGGUAGCGUAUCACAAAAAAAUUACCACACAAAAUAUCUUAGUUUUGGAAUAUACUUCAGUUUCCAAGAAAAUACGUUAUCAUCAACUGUAGUUUUCUUUAUUUCUUAGAUUUCGCCGCACUUUUUUACAAAUCCAAAAAGUUGAAGAUAAAUCUUAGCUUACUUGUUGACAAAAAAAAAUCUUAGCUUACUCGUUACAAAUUAUAUGACGAAUGAGCAUUGGACUCACAAUAUUUUAACUUUAGUAACGACUAAUGAUCUUUUAGCAACACAUUUAUUUUUAAUCAAUAUUUUCAGUGAUGUUUUCAGUGAUGUUUUGCCUUAUAUUUUUAUAAAAUUAGCAAGUUUUAUAUUUAGUUGCAUAAGAUAAUCGUAAUAGUUACACCUGGCAUGGUUUUUCUCUUUGUCAUAUAAAUAUAAAAAUCACUAAAUCAGUUAUCUGUUAAAAUCUGUUAAAACCACAAUCUCUUGUAUAAUUUUUUCAUUCUUCGACCAUUAUAAUUCUUGUCUGCUAGUCGGUCAGACCAUUAUUAAAUUCGGAAAAGGAACCACCAUAAAUCUGUCAGAAUCUUCCACAAAAUUUCUGCAGAGAUUCGUCGUUAUCACAUACCGGUGUGGGUAUCCAUAAAACAAAACUAUAUAAUUUGCUGUAUAUUCCUCAAAACUGAUAGUAUUACAAAAUGUAGCAAAUAUCGUAAGAGUAUUUUUGAAUAAAAUAUUUUAUGACAGAACAUAACAAAUGGCGAGAACAAAGAAUGAUUAAAUGUGCUGUAACAUAACAGGCAAAUAGCUGAUGGCACCCACAUUGAGCGGAGAAGUCAUGUCAACACGUUUUACUGCUAAUUGUUAUAUCUAUAUGCUUAAGGAAGUAGUUGUAAUUAAAUCUUGGACUCUAUUGCUGGUGAUUAGUUUGUGUGAUGGCAUAAGAAUAUUAUAAAUAUAUAUGGAACAUAAUUGAGAUGAGAAUGAAACAACAAUCAGGUCAUGUGGGUGAGACAGCUAAGAAUGUCGUUUGUGUAAAGAAUGGAACUGUUAUCCAAAAAAAGCACGGAUCGUACUACAUUACCCACCAAAAUUCACUUGUCUAUUUCUCUAUGUCCCACCUUCUAUUUCACACUUACGCUACAAUAAGAGAUGAAUUUAGAUAACAAAAAAAAAGAAAAAAGAAAAAGAAUUUAGAUAACAAACUAAUGUGUUGUUUGAUUGUCUGUUUGGAUACUCAACAUCCAUAGGCCCAUUCAUUUGAUCAAACGGUCCAUCAUAUUCAAAUGGGUUAACCCAAUUCAUUUGGGCGAAGAUAGGACCGUACCGGAUCAUCUAUACAUAAAAAAAAUGUAUUGCUAUUCAGAUUGAGAUACUAAAAAAAUCAUACAAAUUCCAGGAUACAACCCAUAUUUUUCUGGUCAUUUCCUCAUUUAACAAUAACAAAAAGAAGCAAUAUUUUUUUUGUAACGUAACAGAAUAAUAAAAAUGUCAGUAAAAUUUCUCCCAAUCUUGGGUUUACAUAAGCUGGCGGAGGAAGGUUCAAGCUCUCCAACACCGUUUCAGAAUGAAUCCCACUCAGUGCUUACAGCUGCGGCUUGGCUCUGUAACAUCUUGCCUUCAACGUAUCCACAUCCUCCUGCAACUUUUGAACCCUACGUACCUGCGAAACACAAACCCCUCAAUCAAAUCUAUAUAUAGAUGCUCAUUUCACAAUGAAUAUAUAGAAAGAAGUAAUAUCUCAAGUGAUUCAGUGGAGCACAGCAUGAACGUCUCAAAUCUCAAGAAAUCUGAAAUGUAUCAAAACCAAAAUCUCUAUAUUUACGACUAACUAAACAGGAACUACAAAUGGAAUCCAAAUGUAUAUUUACAAGAGUCUGAAUCUAGAUCAUUGCAAACUCAUCACAAAGCCCUUCAUAACACACAUGACACAAGUACCAGAUGCAUAUCUUUCACCGCUCAUUGUUUAAACAUAGUUUAUGCUGCAGACAGACGAAAACUAACCUCUGCCUUUCGCUGUAGUCUAGCUUCCCCAUCUGCCUUGAUGCCAUCCAAUUUGAGCAACUGCCUCAUGAGCAGCUCAGCAGUCAUGUCAAACUCCUUCACCGCAACUAUCGUCCCUCCAUCGACAGCAGCCUCUAAAGCACCAACCUUUAUUUCAAAAACAAAACCAGCUUAAACCUUAAGCACGAUAGAACAACCGAAAAGAUGCAGUUAUAAAAAAAAAAAAGAAAACUCACCCUAUCCGAGAGCUCAUCGACCUCUCCAGAGACUGCUAGAACAGCAGCAAUAGCCUUUGCAAUCUCUUCGGUCAUCACAGGAGGCGGUUCAACAUGGUCAACUCCCUUAUUAGGCUCAUCCACAAGGACAACUACAGAGCCUUCCGUAACACCAGCAGCUUGCAACUGCUCAGCGUCAUCUUUCUCAUCUCCCCUGAACAAGAUCUUCAGAUCAGUAGCCUCCAACCCAGUUUCCAGAACAAGGGCUUUCUUUACAUCCCCUGUUGAACACAUUUGAGCUUAAAGAAUCAACCUUUACAAAAAUUAACACAGCUCAAAAAAAUAGGAAUUUCGGUAAGCUCGUCUAUAAUGAAUCUACAAGAAAAUGUCUACUGUUCACUAAUAAUGCAAUUUUGCCCUCAAACUAACUAAGGGAAAACUGGGAUCGUAAGUAAAUAAGUUGUUGUCGUAAAAUCAAUUGUAGAGUUAUGCAAUAAUAUAGUAAUCAAGCAAAGGCUGAAUGAGAAUGGUUAGUACUUUGUAGUAGUUGUUCUACUUCUCUAAUAAGUAUGUAAGAGUUAAGUUGUGUAAUGAAUCAGUUUUCGAUUACUCAAAUGGUUUUUACAAAGUUGUUUUUGAAACAUAGAGAGAAAAGAGUCGGAACACAAAACUGAGUGUGUGUUUUUUUUAAUACCGAAAGUGGCGUGCUGAGGAACAUGGAGAUGGUGGUCGGAGGAGCCAUGGUAAACGGUGAUAGUGAUGGUGUGAUUAGAAACGGCGGAAGCAGAGUCGGAGGAGGAGGCAGAGUCGUCUCUUUGUUGGACGGGCAUAGCACCAUCAGGUUCCGAAUCGUCGGUUGAGUGGUGCAUCAUCGUUGUCUGAAGAUAGAACCAAAAACCCCUUUCGCGCACGAACGAAAUUAGGGUUUUCGCAGUCUCUCCGGAAGACUCACCUCCUCAUGUCUUAAUACAAAUUUCUCCAGAGUAGACGGCGCCUUUUCAACCCUUCUUUCCUUUUCCGUAAUUAGAAUUUUUAAGGACCUUGGAACCUAAAAAAACAAACUGUUGGGGUAAAAAAUGAGUGAACACGAUUAUCUUCGAGACACAAAUGAACAUAUGAUAUAUAUUGAAAGUAGGUUACUCAGUUUUAAAUGAUUUUUAUAUGUAUGUAUUUGUCUCGCUAUGCCCACAGAUGAAAUAUGUGUAUAGGACUAGAUUACAAAACACCGUAACAGUUUAUAAUUACUUCUCAAUUCUAUAUUUUACUUGUUCAAAGAAAAUGGAAGUUGUUUAUUAUGAUCACAUUUGUUUUGGAUACUCCAAAGUUUUUUAAAUAUAUUCCAUCGCAUGAAAACUGGGUUACAGUAACAUAGUUUAGUGAAGAGUAGUAGCAAGUGAGUGUAAAUAAUGGGUGGUGCUUUGUCCCCAUUGUACUGCCGAAUCGCACCUGAUGAUGUUAUUUCCUCUAGAAUUGCAUUCAGGUGCAUGAGCUACGCCAAUCAGUGUUGAACAUUUAGAAAAUGACUUGUGCAAAAGGAGACAUUUUGAUAAGUACUUCUUUUCUGUUCUUUUUAUCUAAGAAACUCUUAAACUCAAACAUACAUAAGAACUGAAGUUUCAAAAAUUCUUUAAGAGAAAAAAAAAAAAGAAAGAUCUCAUGCUUCAGCAUUGCUACUUGCUUCCAUUGGCUCAGCCUCCGUUGAGGCCUCUCCUGCAUUCUUGGCUGCAAAAACAUUCAUGAGGAAUUAUAUAUGUUUUCUUCUCAACACUCAAAAUCUGCAAAUUUAAGUUCAUACCUUUCUUCUUCUUUCCACCACCCUUCUUCUUUUUGAUACCCAAGGCUAACCAUCCUUUGAUCUCAGGGUCAUCAAUGGUCUUCGUAGGUUGCAGCUCCUGAAGUGUAUGUGAAGUGAUCUUAUCCGAUCCAUUUGGCAUCAGCAAAACUGUGAAUUUAAUCUGGGCAACAAAAUCACCUGUUGAAAAAACACAUACAAACAUGAGAGAGUCCCAUUGUCAUGAUUCAUCUAAAAAUAGAUCAAAGAACCUUUCAUCAUCCUUACCAGGCUUCUCGUAAAGAACAGGAUAUGGUUGCAAAUGACCAUGGUUCACACACUCCACAAGUCCAAGACGUGCCCUUUUCUCCUCCAGCGACCUGUACUCUCAGGGAAAUUUAGUAGUUGAUAUAUAAUAGUAUUUGAAAUAUAUAUCAAGUGGUUAAGCAUGUACGAAUGUCACCUUGAAGUGAAUGGCAUGUGGGGGAAGUUCUCUUUAACCUCGCUUAUUAAGGAUCUGGAGGCCUUCAUCUUCAACUGAUAGUGAAUACUCUCAUCUUUCCGGUAAAUAGUUGUUUGCUUCUCGUCUAAUAGCUUAGGCUGCAAAUUCGAAUAAAUAAUGAGAACAGUGGCAAUUAUAAAAGCAACGGCAAUGGUAAUCAAGAUGAGAACAAGAAAUUACCUUGCCAUCACCAGUGCUUGCCACAAUAUCGAUUGCAUAGACUUCAUUCUCUUCAAACUCAGCAUCAUCAACCCUCGUUUCUGGAGUGGAUACACUUAGGAAACUCUUGCUUCCAUCUAUCACGUUCUGUUUCAUCUGGUGGGAAAUAACCCCUUCCACAAUUUUGCAGUCGUACGCUUCAGACACCUUCUGAAUAGCUUCAGUGACAGCAUGGUUCUGCCACAAAGAAAAAAAAAGGUCUAUCAAUUGUCUUGACGGUAGUACAUACAUUGUCGGUUUAAAAGGGAAACCACAAAAUUUCUAGCAAUAAACUAUAGUAUCUUAAUCUAUCAUCUCCAUAUAAGAGUAACUAUGACAAGAAAAAAAGAAGCCUCAUUUGAAUGUGAAUCCAUAGCAUUGUUAGUGAAUAUUCAUCCUUGGGGAAAUACAAACGAGAAACUUAGCCAGAAUCAGUAAAACCAAUAUCACUAACAGUCAGUUAAAAUCAAAAGUUCCCAUCAGAGUAACUAUGACAAAAAAACAUCAUAUGGAUAAAAAUCCAUAGCCAACAGUAAUUAUUCAUCAUCUGGGGUUUGCAAAACUUAAUCAGCCAUUCAAAAACCAAAAACAAUCAUGUAAGAACACCACCAUAAAAGCAAGUGGUUACCUUCUUCCCAGGACGUACGAGUCUCAAAGCAACUUCAGCGGCGGUAUUCGCAGCAGCAAUAACAUCAGCUUUGCGUCCAGUAACGGGUCCUUCUUGAAGAACAUGCGUGUGACCAACAAGAGCAAUGAACCCAUCAAUAUGACAUCCCAUAUCACUGCAACAGACAAAAAAGGCAAAACAGCAUCAGACUACAACUAAUGCAGACAAAACCCCAUUUCUUCUUCAAGAAAAAAAAGAGUCAUUACAUUUUGACCAUGUCACCCUCUUCCAACACUGACUCAUCACCAGCAAGAGGUGAGAAAUGACCAACGACGUUGUUCACAGAAACGCACGUGGGAAAAGCGACGCCUCGAUCAAUCUUCUUCUUUGCAUUCUUGUACAUGUUCCCUGUUUGCCUUUAUAUCAAAAUUAAAAAAAAAAACAAAUGAGCAAUGGGAGCUUGACAAAGAGCAAAUGAGAGAGUAAAUGAUACUGACUCUUUGAUAAAGGCGUCUCCUUUCUCGCAGAUAUCGACAAUCUUAGCUCCUGGCUUGCAUUCAGCCAAAACAACCUGCAACGCCUCUGCAAUUCCAAACCCCCAGAAUCAAUAAACACACAGACCCUUUAAAGAUAGAGCGAGAGAGAGAGAGAGAGAGAGAGCGUUACUGUUGACGAUCUCAGCGGCGCUCUUGUACUUUGUGACGACUUCAGGAGAGGUGAGAUCCAGCUCCUUCUCGUCUCUCUCGUCGUCGGAACUCAUCUCUGACAAAGCUCUCGAAGAUUCGAAGCGAUGUGUUUAGGGUUUAAGGAUGAGGAAUGAUUUGGGGUGAAAUGGUGAGGAGUGAGACGGAGUGUUUAGCUCAAAUAAAGGUACUAGGGCUUUCGCAUGUGUCCUCAAUGUUAAGCGGCACCGUUUCGGAUUGGAUUCGUCUGUUUUGUUUCUGCUACGUUUCUAAUGGUGGCCACGUGUUGUUCUUUUUGCUCCUUAAUGGGCCGGACGAUCACUGUUUACUAAUAAGAUAUAUCCUGCAAUCAAAUAGACAUUUACUAAUGGAGUAUAUAUAUUUUUUUUUUUGAAACACCUACUAAUGGAGUAUAUAUACCUCUUAUUUGGUGCUUUGGUGGCAGCUAACAUGUAACCAUAACCGGUCUUAGACCAAGCCUAAUAAAACAUUCUUCUCAAACGUCUAAUUUCAAAAUUUAUAUGUAAUUAGCCUUUAAAUUUGUAAAAAAAAAAAUUAAGUUCCCUAAAUUUUAAAAUAUUUACUAAAUAGUAUAGGAUCUCCAAACUCUCAAAACCAACCCUGCUUGUAACUCAUCCCCUCGCUUAGAUUAUCGUCUCUCAUGAGUAGCUUAGAACCUCUACAUUUGGAACCAUAAACUCUAGGAUGUAAAUGACCAUAUAAUGAAAGAAAGAAUUACAUCCAGAGGCAGUUUUAAGUUUAUUAUAUCACUAUAAGACAUUUUUCACUACCAACACACUUUUUCUCUCAUUUCAACACCUUCUCUCCUAUUCUCAACGUGUGGAAACCUCUUGCUACCCUUUCUCAUUAUUUAUAACUGAAACCUAAUUAAAAAUAAGAAUUAAUUCAUGUGGCCACAAAUCAAUAUUUUUUUCUCUUUCCUUAUCUCUUAAUUUUUUUUUUCAUCUUCCUCGUAUUUUCUUUCUGUUUAGAAAAAAGAUGAAACAUGACGAUGGAGUUAGAGUUUUACAGUCCUUAGUCGGCCUCAUGUAGAACAAAUAAAAAAAAUGAUAAGGAAAGAAUGAUGGCGUUGAUGAUGAAGACGUUGACAUCAGUGAGGACAGGUACGACGACGGCAAGGAUGUAGAAGGUGAAUGUGAGGUAUGAUUCUGAGAUAAUAAAUUUGUUUCGAAGCAUCGACAUCAACAUUUGGAAUCUUCGGUUCAUAUUCCACCGUAAAUUUAACCAUUGUUCCCAUGAUUGAUGGAUAACUCCGAUGAAUUUGAUUUGUGUCUCUGGCUGCUUCCUUUUGAUUCCAACGAAACCGGUUAUGACUAAAUUGAAAUCUACUGAGUUCUUGUUUUCUGAUUUUGCCCCCAAUGGAACUUGCUGUCUCACUAGCCAAAGCACCAUGAUUCCAAAAAGCAUCAAAAAUAUCAACCGACUAUGAUUCAUAAGCACAACAAGCAAGAUGUACAUCAAAAACAUAUGAUUUAUACAUGUGUACACAAACAAAUAAUUAUAUAUAACACUGAUUGUACACAUGUACAAACAUCUAACAGUGGCAAUGUAAGCAACAGAAAAUCAAACACUUACAUUAUCAAGUUCUUAAAUAAUCCCCAUUAAUGAACACAUGUGAACUCUUUCGUUCACAUAAACCAUCAAUCAUCGUCUUUUUACAAAGGCAUUUUCUAUCUUUCAGAUGUACACGUGUACGCAUCGACGUAGUUAUUUCAAUGUAUUUGUGUACACAAACAUUUUGUGUACACACAUAGGACAUGGACGACGACGGCAAGGAUGUAGAAGGUGAAUGUGAUGUAUGAUUUUGAGAUAAAAAAUUUGUUUGGAAGAAUUGACAUCAACGUUUGGAAUCUUCGGCUCAUCUUCCACUGUAAAUUUAACCAUUGUUCCCAUGAUGGAUGGAUAACUCCGAUGAAUUCAAUUUUUGUCUCUGGCUGCUUCCUUUGAUUCCAACGAAACCGGUUAUGACUAAAUUAAAAUAUAUUGUGUUCUUGUUUUUUUGAUUUUGCCCCCAUAGAACUUGCUGUCUCACUAGCCAAAGCACCACGAUUCCAGAAAGCAUUAAAAAUAUCAACCGGCUAUAAUUCAUAAACACAAAGCAAGAUGUACAUCAAAAAUAUAUGAUUUUGUACAUGUGUACAUAAACAAAUAAUUAUACAUAACACUGAUUGUACACAUGUACAAACAUCUAACAGUGACAAUGUAAGCAACGGAAAAUCAAACACUUAUAGUAUCAAGUUCUUAAAUAAUCCCCAUUAAUGAACACAUGUGAACUCUUUCAUUCACAUAAACCAUCCAUCAUUGUCCUUUUACAAAGGCAUUUUCUAUCCUUCAUAUGUACAUGUGUACAAUAAUAUUGUGUACGCAUCGACGUAGUUAUUUUCCAAAAACUUAAUGAAUGGCAUUUUCGUAAUUAAAAACAUCAUCUUCCUCAAAAAAUCACUAGGGUUCUGGAACUUUACUACGCAGCCGCCAUGGAUUAUUUUCACUUAAUCUUUUUUUUUUGCGUUUAGACAGAGAUUAACACUUCGAACUUGUAGAACUAUCAUAUACUAACGAUUUUAACCUUCAGAAUAACAAAAAAUUUAGAUUUUACACUUCUCCUAAUUUACCAAUUAACACCAAAUCGAGACAUUCAUCAACCAACAAGCAGUUAACCACCGCAAAUUCAGACGCACCGUCACAUCUCGGAUUCUUAAGCUUCGUUGUUAGCCAACAUCUCAUCCCAACAAUCUCUUUCGGGUUUCGUCAAAAAUAUAAGAAAAUUUCGUCAAAAAUAAAAUUUGUGGGUCAAAUUAGAAUACAAAUGUGGAUUGGUAUUUUCUUAGGUUUUAAAAUUCAAAUACGUUUGAAAAGAAACUGGCAACUGAGCACCAAAAAAAACAAUUAGAUUUAUUGAAAAAGAGGUAAUUAUGUAAACAACCAACAAGAAACUACCUUAGUAGUUGUAACUGUCAAAAAACUUAAAAUUGCCUCUACAUGUAAAUGACUAAUGAAAAUCCACAAACACCCAAGUGAAGCAUAAAAAAAAAGAUGCGUCUUGGUUAUUAGCUAAUUUCUCUAGAAUCUGCGACAUUGAUUUGUGUGUUUCAACCGGUGGUGAGUAUCUAGUUGAUAAGAGCAAGCAGAAAAAUUAAAAGCCACAGGUGAACUAAACUCUGCAUACCGCAACAUGGAGCUGACUGCCUGACUGGUUCAACCGCAGCGAUUGCGGUUGCGGUUGCGGGAGUUUGCGGAUGCGGGUGGUUGCGGUUUCUAGCGGUUUUAAGAGAUUUGUACGACUGGUUCUGCGGUUAAAAAUUGGUGCGUUUGCGGGAUACUUAUGACUGGUUAACUACAAAGUGCAGCAGCGGUUAAAUAAUAAAUUAACAAUAUUUACAUUUUAUACAAUUAUAAAAAUAUCAAAAAUAAUAAUAUUAUAAUAAAUAUAAAAGUUAUAUUUAGAAAGUUAUAGUUUAAUUUUUUAAAAAAUAUAGAAAAUAUUUUUAUUUUAAAGUUUUAUAAUAUUAAUUAAAAUUUAAUAGAUAUAUUUUAGCAUUUUUAUAAUUCUAAUUUAAUUUUUUUAUUGAAUAUUUUUAUUUUUGUAUUUAUAUUGUUUUGGAAAAAAAGAAAUUUUUUUUAUCCUCCCGCAACCGCCCGCAACCGCAAACGCUAGCUGGAACGAGCUUUUGAAUUUAUGAGGUUCAGAGCGAUUUGGAGCGGUUUGGAACGGUUUGAGCGAUUGUUGCAAAACGUCAACAACCGCUACCAACCGCAAAAGCUGCGUUUGCGGGUGGUAGCGGGAAAACCAGUCAUGCCCUGAGUAAGGCCUAUAGCACCGACGCAUAUCCAUUUUGGACCCGGGCCAGUUACGUGGAGAAUACUAUCUUAGGAGAAUAUAUUUUAUCUUUCCAUAUAAAUGGUAACAGUACUUAUAAACAAGAACGACAGAUUUGAAUAUAAGCUACAAAAACAUUUAUUAAAAGUUCGACAAAAUGUGUCUAACGUUUCAUUGUUUAGUUCAACGACAGCAAUGAACAUGCUUUGUUGCAGUUCGUUUGUCGUUAUCACAUGAAGAGACUUUUAUGGAAGGUUUGAAAAUAAGUGUGUAAGAGAAUCGAACAUUACAAAUAUUUAUCACUUUGACAUUGACCAGUUCCAAAUAUCAGUCAAUUAUGGAUCGUUUUUUUUCUUAAUACUUUUAACACGGAAAUUAAUUAUUAUUUUUUGCUUAACUGAAAUUAUGUUGCAGUUUUAUUAUGCAAUUCCGACUAUGGAUAUAUACUAUUUAUUAUGUUUCAUACGAGUCGUAUGAUACGACUAUGAACAUGACAAAGUAAAAUGAUGAGACAGCCUAUUAUGUUUCAUACGACCAUGAACAUGACAAAGUAAAAUGAUGACACACAACAACAAUAUUUUAGAUUUUUCAAAAAAACAACAACAAUAAUUUAGGUACUAUACAUAUAAAUAUUAUAACGUUACACCUAGACUUGUAAGCUACAGGUUUAAACCCCCCCCCCCCCCCCCCCCCCCCCUUUUUUUUUACUAAGCUACAGGUUUAAACUUGUUGUGUCAUUUAUCAUAAAUCUGAUUCAGGUUUGAAAGUGCGUGUCUGUGUGUGAGUUGUAAACUUCUAAACAAGAUUUAACUAAAUAUAUAUGUGUAAAUGCCAUCAUUUAAAUGGUUCUAGCUUACUUUAAAUUUGAUUAAGAACUUAACUCGUACUUAGAUACCAUCAACGCAACCAACUUUAUUGCCAAGAUAAUGGGGAACACAUGAGAGAAUAAAUUUAGAAAAUGUUAGAAGAGAUGAGGGCACUGAGUGAAACCUUGUUUUUGUAGCAUACUUGAGUUUAUAUUCAGAUGACCCAUCAUGCUAUGCUUUCUCUUUAGCUUAUACCAUAGACUUUGCGACAAUUGAGAAAAAGACAAACCCAACACAAUUUAUUUUACUGAAAACUUAUCAAACUUUAUUUCUUUAAUUAUUUAAUGCUUCCUCUGUUUUAAAAUGAUUCAUGUUUGCAAAGAAAAUUGUUUCAAAAUAUUUUUAAAUUUUAAUACUUUUUAUUAGGUAAUAAUUGUAAAUUUCAAAUUGUAAAAUUUGAAGAAAUUAAUUGUAUUUAUUAAAAUUUAAUUGACCAAAAGUUUUGAGAAAUAGUUAAUCACAAAAAAUAAUGUAUCUAUAAUCAAAAUUUUAUAUAUAUAUAUAUGAAAUUUUAAAACAUACAUCAUUUGAAAUAGAGGAAGCACUACUAUAUUUUUUUGGUUUGUAAUCCAUUAAUUCAUAUCAUCUACCUUUUGUGUUCCUAUAGAUUUUACCUUUACAGUUCUUUGAGCCUUUGCCUACCAAAUCCUUUUAGAGUUGUAAUAAUUAUCAUUGACCAAUUGUGUUUGUAUUAAUUGUCUUAAAUUCACAAAGAUGGUACUCCUUCCGAUUCAUAAAUAGUGUCACUUAGACAUUUUCACACAUAUUAAGAAAAUAUUGAGAUGUAUUUAUGUUUUCAUUAAUUACAACUAGUUAACCAACAAUAUUUGAGAUAAACAAAUUUGUUUAUAAGAUCAUUGCAUUUUGCAAUUAGUAUUUAGCUAAAAUUGAUUAUAAAUUGUAUUGGAAUGUAGAAUAACACUUUUUAUGUAGUAAGGAAAAACGCUAAAGUGACACUUAUUUAAAAACAGAAUGAAUAUGAUGUAAAGCUUAGGGACAAGGUCAAGCAAUGAACAUCGAUGGAUUUAUGAGAGAUUCACUUUUGUGUCAAUAGGACGUUUUCUUAUAGAUUUAAUGGAUUUAUCAGUUAAUAUAAGAGAUUAAGUUGAAAAACUAGCAACUACACACAAAAGCGAGGAGCUAAAAGUUACAUGUUGUUCAAGAGAUUCGUCAACACACUGGAAAACAAGUUGAAACCUCUAUUCCUUAGUUUGAAUAAGUAUUACUAAGGAUAGUCAUAGUGUUGGUUCAUGCAAAAAAAUAUUGAAACGAACAGAAUUCACAAAUAAAACCCCAGAAAGGAAUAGAAAGAUAACAGAUCAAACAUCUCAACUAAUAGAUAGUUUAUUGGAUGUGAUACGCUUUGGCAGGUGUGAAUGAACCUCCACAUUUUGAGAUUUGGUUGGUUAGAUGGGUCAAAUGUGAACGCAUCAUUGGUGCUUCAGUUUUAGUAUACAAACCUUUGUAGCUCCCGAAAACAUGUUCGUGAUCCACUCUACCCAAAUAAGAUAUGUGAAACUCCAUCCAAAGCCACAGACUUCUUUUGAAAGAUUAAAAGACUACAGCUUUAACGAAGUCUUGUUCUCUGGUUUGGCACUGGACUACUUACUUAAUGAACUGGGAAUAUGUAGUUACUAUUUACUGCCAAUGACAAUAGUUUUUUCGUCCCAAUUGACCAUAUGCUUAGUUAUCCUCAGCCCAACGGCAAAUUCAGUGUAAUUUUUACACCAAAUCUAUGUAAUCCAAUUCUAAAAAAUCACAUUAUUUUAGAUCAUUUCUAAUGAAUUAUUUUAUUAAUUUCUUUAAAAUAGAAAUAACUUUAUAAUAGAACUGAACAAAAAUAAUAAUAAUUAUGUUUAUGGAAUAAACUUAUUUUUACUCUAUUGUGUGGUAAAAAAUAUAUUAGAGUCGGAGAUGACCUUAAUAUAACACUAUAGCACAAAACUAAAUAUGGUACAAUACUAUUCACAACAAUAAAUAUUGUUUACUUAAUUUUAUUUAUAAAAUAUUAGAUAAAUAAAUAUUAAUAGGAAGAUAAAUAAAUAUAAAAUAAAAAAUAGAUAUAUUACAUAUAUUGAAAUUGUUUUAAUUAUUUUAAUAUAUGUUACAAUAGAAAAAUAUUUGAGUGUGAUAUAACUUUUGUGCAAUAUAGUUACAUUAUAAGAUUUAUGUGUUAUAUAUUAAAUAAUAAUGAAAUUUUAUAAUUUAAUAUAGAAAAAAUAAAAUACAGUUUUAGUGUAAAAUUUAGUAUUGUAAUCGGAAAAUUAAAAUUUUAGUGGUAAAAUUACAAUAAAAUAGUGUGAUUUUUACAUAAAAAAUAGUGUUAAAGAUUGGAGACAUCUACAAUGAGUGACUUUCUAAGAAUUUGUGGGAAAUUUAGCUGUUACAUUUUUAUUUUUUAAGUUGUUAUAUUUCAUUUUGUUGAAAAAAAUAGAUUAUAUAAAGUGUUGAUUUAACAAACAAGUAAAGACCAUCUAUCAAAAAAAAAAAAGAGAAAUAAAGCAAAGAGACCACAUAAUGAUUUGAGUUUUAUAGAAAACAUCAAAAAGGAGAGAGACCUCUCUCUCUCUCUCUUUCUCUCUAGUCUCUACCUACUCAUCUUCACCGUACCCUUUCUUCGAUCUAUGCUUCUUCUCUCCAUAGAUUCCCACUGUUACGAUUCCCUCCAAAGGCUAUAAUGCGCAACCCUAGAUUAGCUACUUAAAACUUCCCAAAGAUCUCUCUUCCUUUUCUGCUCUAUCACUUUCUUCUUUUGUAUAUAGCUCAGACGAAAAGCUCGAGACUUUGAGCUUACCCAGACCAAAGCUCGACGCUUUAAGCUAACCCAGAAGAAAAGCUCGAGACUUUGAGCUUCCAACAACUCAUGGGGAACUGCUGCAGAUCUCCCGCCGCUGUGGCGAGAGAAGACGUCAAAUCCAACUACUCCGGCAACGAUCACCGCCGCAAAGACGCCUCCGGCGGGAAGAAACCGGCGCCGAUUCGAGUCCUCGGCGACGUCCCCAAGGAGAACAUCGAGGACCGUUACCUACUCGACAGAGAGCUCGGCCGCGGCGAGUUCGGCGUCACGUACCUCUGCAUCGUGAGAUCCACGCGCGACCUGCUCGCCUGCAAGUCCAUCUCCAAGAGGAAGCUCAGGACCGAGGUGGACGUCGAGGACGUGAAGAGGGAGGUGGCGAUUAUGCAGCAUUUGCCUGAGAGCUCGAGCAUUGUCACUCUGAAGGAGGCUUGUGAGGACGACAACGCUGUGCAUUUGGUGAUGGAGCUGUGUGAGGGCGGCGAGCUUUUCGAUAGGAUUGUGGCCAGAGGGCAUUACACGGAGCGGGCCGCGGCGGGGGUCACGAAGACGAUCAUGGAGGUUGUGCAGCUUUGCCAUAAGCACGGUGUUAUUCAUAGAGAUUUGAAGCCGGAGAAUUUCUUGUUUGCUAACAAGAAGGAGAACUCGCCGUUGAAAGCUAUUGACUUUGGAUUGUCUAUCUUCUUCAAGCCAGGUAGUGUCACUGAUGUUGAGUCUUGCUUUGAAAGUAGUCGAUUCUGAAACCAAUUAGUUUCAUAGUUAUAGAGCUUUUUGAUGUUUCUUGAUUGAUGGAACUUGGCCAGUUUAGUUGUGCCUUGAUGCUGUUGUCUUACAAAGCUUACACAUAUUUGUCAGGUGAGAAGUUCUCGGAGAUAGUUGGGAGUCCAUAUUACAUGGCACCUGAGGUGCUAAAGAGGAGCUAUGGACCUGAAAUAGAUAUUUGGAGUGCUGGAGUCAUUCUUUAUAUUCUCCUUUGUGGAGUUCCUCCUUUCUGGGCAGGUACCUUCCUCUCUUCUUUGUUCUCCUCUUCCAGAGCAUUUGCUUAUUGAUUUUUUUCAACCACAGAGUCGGAACAGGGAGUGGCUCAGGCUAUUUUACGAGGGAUAAUUGAUUUUAAGAGGGAACCAUGGCCAAACAUUUCAGAGACUGCCAAGAGUCUUGUCAGACAAAUGCUAGAGCCUGAUCCAAAGCGCCGGCUAACUGCAAAACAAGUGCUUGGUACAUAGACUCCACCUUUGCCUCUGCUCUCUUACUCUCUUCAUCUGUUUCAGAGAUUGUUUAUGCUUAUUCCUUAUUUUGUAGAGCACCCAUGGAUUCAGAACGCCAAGAAAGCUCCAAAUGUCCCUCUUGGAGAUGUUGUCAAGUCCAGACUAAAGCAGUUCUCAGUGAUGAACAGAUUCAAGAGAAAAGCUUUGAGGGUCUGUUAUUCAGAAAGCUCAUUUUGCAUUAGUAGCUUCUUAGACCACACUUAUCUUAACUUGCCUUGAAUCAAUCUAGGUUAUUGCUGAAUUUUUAUCUACUCAAGAAGUAGAAGACAUCAAGGAGAUGUUCAACAAGAUGGAUACUGACAAAGAUGGUAUUGUUACCAUCGAGGAGUUGAAAGCUGGACUUCGCGAUUUUGGUACACAGCUAGCUGAAUCAGAAGUUCAGAUGCUUAUUGAAGCGGUGCACAUAUUCUCUUCCCUUACAUCACCAUAUGACACCUAACACAAUAUCUUAGUUCACUAAAUUCAAUUUUGUAUAAUAAUAGGUGGAUACUAAAGGGAAAGGAACACUAGACUAUGGCGAGUUUGUUGCAGUCUCUCUCCACCUGCAGAAGGUAGCAAACGAUGAGCAUCUCCGCAAAGCGUUCUCUUACUUUGACAAGGAUGGAAAUGGUUACAUUCUCCCCCAAGAGCUUUGUGAAGCCUUAAAGGAAGAUGGAGGAGAUGACUGUGUGGGUGUUGCUAAUGAUAUAUUCCAAGAAGUUGACACUGAUAAGGUAAGCGGUCCCUUAGAGCUAUAGUUGGUGUAAAGAGUUCACUUAUCACUUCGUUAGAUAGAACAGCUUUAGAGCUAUAGUUAGUGUUGAAGACGUUUUUUUCUAGUGGUUAUGUUUGACAUGGAUGAUUGACAUUAGGAUGGGAGAAUAAGCUACGAAGAGUUUGCAGCAAUGAUGAAAACAGGAACUGAUUGGAGAAAGGUAUCUCGUCAUUACUCGAGAGGGAGGUUCAAUAGCCUAAGCAUCAAGCUAAUGAAGGACGGAUCAUUGAACCUAGGCAAUGAAUAAUAGCAAACAAAGUGAGUAAGCUGCACUAAGAUUUUGUUAGAGUUUGUUUCUCACGUCACGUCCCUCCACGUCAAAUAUUAAGCUAAGUGAAGACAAACAGCUUGGGACUCGGAAUCAAUCUUCUUCUUUUUUUGUAAAUCUUUCGUUUUUUAAUUUUCUAUUUUUUGGUGAUUUGUGCUAUCUGUGUCUUUAUUGGUUUUGUGGGGUGUGAGUUAUGUUUGUUGUUGUAGAAAGGGUCAAAGACAUGAAAAUCAAUGAUUGAUGUGUAGAAGAGAACCUACGACCUUUCUGUAAUGUUAAUGAAUCAUUUCACAACUCUCGUCUAUAUGCUGAACACUGGUCAAUCAAAUUACUCCACGUAUGUUUUGAUGACAUAAGCGCAUCUCCAUCCCCGCUCCAUUUUUCUCUCUAAAAUAGAGUAACUUAACUUCAUAUCUCACUUCAUAAUAAAAUUUACUCCAUAAAUGGAGUAAUUUAUUUUUUGUUUAUUCAUUACUUCAUUAUGGAGUGGGAAAUGGAGUAGGGUUAGAGUAAUUUUACUUUAUUUUCACUUUUACUCUAUUUUAAAGGAAAAAAUAGAGUUUUACAUUGGAGAUGCUCUAAGACCAUCUCCAACCCAAACCUAUUUUUUCUCUAUAAUUCUUACAAAAUUAUAGUAACUCUAUUAUUCCUACAAAAAUAGAUUAACUCUAUUAUAGGUUAAGUUCUGUUCCAAUGAUUUACUUUUUUACUCUAUUAUAGAGAAGAAAAUAGAAUAUUUCACUUUUUCACUCCAAAUAUAGAGUAAAAAGUAAACCAUGAGAGCAAAAUUUAUCCUAUAAUAUAGUUACUCUAUUUCUGUGGGAAUUUUAGAGGAAAAAUUAGGUUUGAGUUUUAGAUGCCCUAAGUUACUUAAAUCCAAAAAAUAGGUAUUUUAUAUUCUAAGUAUUAUUUGUACAAAGUUAUUUAUGAACUAAUUGUUAACUACACAAAACUGGGUUUGAAAUGACCAACGGGUAAAAUGUAAACGAAAAAUUAACGAUUUCCGUCCAAUUUUAACAGUUAACUAUUUCAAACCCAAUUUUGCGCAGUCAACACUUAGUUCAAAAAUAAUUUUGCGCAAGCAAAUACUUAAAUAUUAAAUGUGAUGAUUGCAAAUAGUUGGAGAAUAAAAAAACCAAAAUCCAUAACAAUCUAUAUAAGUGAUCUAACUUUAUUAUUUGUUAAUUUUAAAGACAUAUAAUAUUUAAAUAUGUGAAGCUUAUACACAUUUGUAUUACAUAUAAGUACUUCAAAAGUAUCUAUUACUAUAAGCACUAGAUAUAACAUAUGUGUAUUUCAUGCGUGUAAGAUCACCGAUAUAUGGUUUUGGAUAUUUGUUUUAGAUCAAUUUAUAUUGUACAUAAGUUAUACGAUACAUUGUGUUAAAAAAAAAGUUAUACGAUACAUAUAUAUAUAUUUUUGUCUUAUAAUAAUUUAUAUGUAAAUGCAAAUCUAAAAAAACAUGUUAAUGGAUUUUAGAGUAUAUUGGUUUCUUCAGACUUGUAAAUUUUCUUAACUCGAAUUUUAAGAAAUUGAUUGAUAUUUUUAUUUAGAAAUUUCUAUGGAUCAUAAUAACAAUAUAGAUUUUUAUUCCUUAACUAUUUAAAAUCAACAUAUUUAAUACUCAAAUAUUGCUUGCUUUUCGUUUACAUUUUAAUAGUUUACUAUUUCGAAUCUAAUUUCGCAUAGGUAACAAUUAGUUCGGAAAUAAAGUAUUAAAUGUGCUGAUUUUAAAUAGCUGGAGAAUAAAAUACUCAUUUCUUCUUAAAACCCAUAGUUAAACUUUGGUGUUAUGGAAUUAAACAUGGUUUAUAACUUCAGAGUUUUAAGUUUUUGUUUUUUGACAAAACAAGACAAAAUAAAAAAUUUUAGUUCAUCAUCUCAAGCAUUUAAUAUAGAGAUAUUGCAUAUCACGAGGCUGAUUUCAAACUUAAUACGAAAGCUAUCUAGUACCUACUUACCUUGUCUCGGCUCUUAGAGCAUCAACAUCAAGUGACUAACACCAGCAACCCACCUACAUUAUUGGCCUGCAAAGGAAUCAAAAAGAUUAAUCAACGUCUCACAAAACAAUGCAUCUCAAGAUUUAGAACAAUCCAACCAGAUCCAUUAUGUCUAUAUGCGCCGUUCUUAAUUUGAGAUGAAUCACAUCUUACAGGAACAAAAGUAAGCACAUACGGCACUUGCUUUCUUCUUAAAGUUGACAGUAACAUCCUGCUGCAGAUUUGCAGUCAUAUUCAACAAGAUUUGAGGUUUAUGAUGUUAAAGUUUCCCAGAUUUGGGUUUUCACAAACUCGUUUAAAGAUGUGAUAGUAGAAGAAUCCCAUCUGUUCACCUCAGCAAUUACAAUAUAUUUUUACAUAAUUAGAGAAUUUGAAGUGAUAAAGAUUUGUCUCCGAUUUGUUUCGUGAUUUUCCUGGAUUUCGAGUGGAGUGUUUUUAUCCAGCUACCGGCUGUGUGAAUAAGACGUGUUCGGGAAGCUUUUUUUGGCUUCGCCGUGGGGUGUUAGGCGUAUGAGGCGCGUGGAGAGCACAAUCAAGGUCCAAUGGCGAGUCUUAGUUGGGAUUGAAGGGUGUGUACAGCAACGGUUAAGGACUCUAACCUCUCUCGAAUCUGUUUAUGCGUUGGUGAUGCUCGUAUGCGUCCUGUCUACCUCGUUGUUCUUCUCCUCUGGUGUUAUUUGUGGAUGUGUUCUCGUUAGGUAUGCCUGUCCUUGAGUGCAAGGUGGUGCUCUCCGUUCUUGUAGUGAUCUAUCCCUUCCUUGUUUUAGCAUACGAUGUUCUUUGUUGUUGUUUUACUCUUGGUUCCGAAGGGUGUUGUUUUACCUCGUCGGCUUAUGGCUCCGGAAAGGCUUUGUUCCUUUGUCGGCUUUGUGUAAGGCAUGGUUAUUUCAAUUUUAAUCCAACAGAUGACAAAAAAAAAAAGAAGUGAUAAAGAUUUGUAUUGAUGUCAGAUAUACUUACAAUAUUUUUUAUUCAAUCAAUGAUAUUUUAAUAUUUUCUUGAAUAAUAUGUUAAUUCAACUAAUGAUAAAAUUUGUGUUAGUCAGUUAAUACAUGCUAAAGUAUAGAUUAAAUCUUCAAAUUUUCUCUUGCAAGAAAAAAAUAGAUUAAUUUUUUUAGCCAAGAGAAAAUUUGAAAAUUUAUAAGGGAAGGUUUAUAUUUUAAUCGUUUGACAUGAUACAAAUCAAAUUUAGUGGAAGCCACAUUGGUCCAGUAGUUUGACUAAAGGUUCAUUAAUGCUUAUACAUCAUAAGAUCUGGGUUUCGAUUCCUAGAGAAUGCGGAAUUAUUUGAAUUAAUGAAGAAAAGAAUUACAAGAGAUUUGCAGUAUGGCACAUGAAUACUGUCAAGUGUGGAUCACAUAGAACGACUAGUGCUGGGAAUAUGAAUCAUUAUCCGGUCACCUGCAGGUUUAAGCGGGGCGGGUGCGGGUUUCAUAUUUUUUUUUGUGGGUCAAACGGGUCAAAUUUUUUGAGUCAAAAAAAUCAGUCAACCCGCAGGUUGGCGGAUCAAGCGGGACGGGUCUGACCCGUAACCCAGCUCUAAGGACGGCUCAGGUAAUGCAAUCAAGUGUGAAUCUUCAUAAAGUAGAUAGAAUUAUCGGUUGUAGAGUCGUCUGUAAUAUUUCUCAUAGUUUGUAAUAGCAUAAUUAUUCACAGUUAUAAACAAAUCAAAUUUAAAAUGUUCAAUCCUACUAUAACAUGUGAAAUCAGGAUCUUAAGGGGAGAGUGAAGCAUGCAUAGCUUAGCGAUUUCUUCUACCAUUUCCAACCUGUUCUCUAAUUUUCAGACAAAGUUUUAAUAUUUGGAAUUUUCUUAUAAAUAUAUCUAGUAAUAAAAGUAUUUUUAAACAAUACAAAUUCGUUAAAAAAUUUAAGUGUUGCUUAAACAAGAAAGCGACAUAUUGAAAUAAGAGAUUAAUAUAUGCUGUCAGUAUUAGAAUCAUACAAAUCAAAGAAGGAACAGAGUUACAAACUUAAAUAAGUACUGAAGAACUUUAUAAGAUAUAGACUCAAGUGGGCACCAUGAGAAGCAGACGCCAACACUAGACAACUCAAAGACACAUGUGUCUCGUACGAAUGGUACUGUACUAUACUACUAUGUUAUUAAAUAUUCCGGAAAGCUCCACAACUCUCUAUUCUUUUUGGAAUUUCCCCCAGCAUCUCGUUUUGGCUCGGUGUGAUUUACGUAUGGCAACAAGCAAUGGAAAGUGAUAUAAAUCACACAAUUAAAAAGUCAAGAAAUGACUUAAAGUAGUGUUACAUGUGAGAUAUGCUUGUACGACUAUUUCUGGAUGAUAUUUACUAGAUCUUGGCCGUUAAGUGAAAAUUUCCUAAACAAAUUAAGCAUUUAGAGUUCAGUCCAGAUUUCACUUGCUACUUAUUAUAUUUUAUAACCAAUUAAUUUCACUUGCUAGUUAAGUUUAGUCCAGAUUUCUCCUUCCCAUUACCUUUUUUGAGUUUUUAGAUAUGUUGUAUAGUGACCAACUAUUUAUUCGAGUUUGAAAUGUUUUCUGACUACAUAAAAACCUAUUUUUAGUUAACAAUUGAAGGCCAUAAAAAUGUUUUCUGACCAACACGGGAUUCUAAUUUUGAAGUUUGAAACACCGACCACUGAUGGUCACUGAUGGUGACCAUCGUAGUAUGUAUGAUGGCCAACACUUUUUUACAACUACAAAAAAGUAGUCACGUAUGAUUUAGACGUUGCAAUCAAUACUAUUAAAAGGGAAGGAGUUCUAAAAAAUCUACUUAUACAAGGUUGUUGCACCUAUUUAUUUUUUAGUCCAACCUAUUGUAUACAAUUAAAUAUUAUUAACUAUCCCCUAUUAUAUAGCAACCAAAUUAUAUAUUUUAACAUUUAAAUAAAUCUCACCCACUUUAAUAAGAUCAUGACUAUCAAUUUAACAUAUAUAUAUUUGAUAUAAACGGCACCAAAAUUGUAAUACGUAGGGGUCAUUGUCAUAUAUAUCAUCCUCCUCUAUUAAAUCAAAGUUUUCUUACAAGAUCAACUUUUAAAAUAUAAAUGAGUCAUGUCCUAUUAAACAUUAUAGAUCAAACCUGGAGAGUAUUUUCCACCCAAAGUUUUAUAAAACGAAUCAAUGAAUUUGCUAGGUUUUGGAUUUUUGGACCUAAUUAGGUAUUUAGAAAAAAAAUUAUUUGGGUUCGGAUCGAUUUCUUUCGUAUCUUGAUGGUUUCGACUCCAUAAUUCAAAUAACUAUUAAAUAUAUGUUAUUUUUUUGUAUGUAACGGGUAUGGAUCCGUUCAGAUAUUUAGGACUCAAAUAAAACUCGAUAAACAUAAAUAUACUUGAAACACGAAAAAAUAUCCAAAAUCUAAACAAAUACCUGAAAAUCAGAAAAUACUCAAAAGAUCUAAAAUUGUACUUGAAAUCUGAUCCGAGGAACCAAAAAAUACCCAAAAUUUUAUCUGAAUACCCAAAUAUAUUUUUAAAAUUUGAUUUCUUACUCGAAAUCCAAAACUAUAACCGGAAAUUCAAACCAAAACUCAAAAAUAUAUGUAUACUAAACAAAUAUCCAAAAUACACAAAUAUAUAUAAUUUACACAAACAUUUUGGGUACUUUGGCUCCCAACGGGUUUCGGGUAGGUCUCAGACGCGUACAGAGACCCAUAUUUCCAAAAAAAUACGUAUUUUUCUCUGGACCCGACGCGAACCGAACCAGAAUUUUCGAGUUGAUUUUGGUUUGGCUUUUCGGGGUCCAUGUAAAAUACCCAUGCGCAAAAGAGAAUUACAUAAGAUUUAUACAAAAUUCCAAAUAAAGUAAUUCAUGAAUUAUAUAAUAUUUUUAAAAAUUAUUUCUUUUAUAUAAUUCGACUUUGUAACAUAAUAAUGUAAAACAAUCACACAAUACUAAUUCAUAUCAAAAUUUGUUAUAACAAAAGAACCCGCGCUUUCAAGCACGGGUCAAAAUCUAGUUAUUGGUUAUUACAGGCCUGAAUUUUUGGUGUCUCCACUAUGAAAAUGGAUAUUCUCUUUUUAUUCCAUGUCCCUCGUCAAAUCGUAACUAGUAAUUUGAUAGGAAAAGAACACUGGAACUUGAUCCGUGCAUCAUGUAAAUAUUUGAUUUAACUUUUGUUCAACAUAAAUUUAUAAACUUUUGAUUUUAUAAAAAUAUUACAUGUAUAUUUUUUAUAUUUUGCAAUUUACAUAUAGAGUAAAAUAUAUUAUUUUCUAAUAUACAUGUUUGAUAAUAAAUUUUUUAUUUGUACAUAAUAUUAUAUUAAAAAUUUAAUAACUUAAUGCAAAUUAACAUAAUUUAUCUAUUCAUAUAGUAACCUGUUAUUUUUUUUGUUAAUUUAUUUCAAAAUGAAACAACAUAUUGUACUAAAUUUUUUAAUUUUUUGCAUUAAUUUUAUGAUAUUUUGUUUUCUUGAAAAUUGAACUCUCGAAAUUUUUAUAUUUGACUACAUGCGAUUUGGUUAAUAUUAGUAUAAUACUAAUAAUAAUCAAUAUAUAAAUAUCGGUUUAGUUAGAUAAGUUUUGAAAUUAUAAUUAAUUUAUUAAAUUAAUUUCAAAUACAGUGGCACAAUAUGUAAAUACAAAAAUACAAAAACACUUAAUUUAUCGUAAAUGCAAUAGCUAAAUUACUAAAAAUACUGCUAUUCAUAUUUACAAACAUUUCUCAUUUAUAUUUUUAUCCAUGUUUCCAAAAAAUACAAAAAAAGACUUCAGUUUUAGUAAUACAGAUUUAUUUGUCGUACACAUACAAGCUUAUAAAUAUGAUUGUUAUCAAACACAUUACAUUGCGUAUAUAAUAUUUAUAUAUGCAUGAUUAUAUAUAUAUAUAUGUAUAUAUAUUUAGAAUGUCAGAUAAUAUGCUAAAUACACAUCCCAAUUUGAUAUAAAUUAUUUAAUGGAAAAUAUUCAUUUUAGUAAGGUUUGAAAUAUAUAAAUCGAUGAUAAAUGAGAUACAGAUUAUUACUAAUAUAUAGGGUCUGACUGGUUCAAACGCAGCGGUUGCGGUUGCGGCUGCGAACAUUUGCGGAUGCGGAUGGUUGCGGUUUCUAGCGGUUUUAAGAGAUUUGUACGACUGGUUAUGCGGUUAGAAAUUGGUGCGUUUGCGGGAUACUUAUGAAUGGUUAACUACCAAAUACAGCAGCGGUUAAAUAAUAAAUUAACAAUAUUUACAUUUUAUAUAAUUAUAAAAAUAUCAAAAAUCAUAAUAUUAUAAUAAAUAUGUAAAUUAUAUUUUCAAAGUUAUAGUUUUAAAUUUUUAAAAUUAUAGAAAAUAUUUUUAUUUUAAAAUUUUAUAAUAUUAAUUAAAAUAUAAUAGAUAUAUUUUAGUAUUUUUAUAAGUCCAUUUUAAAAAAUUUAUUGAAUAUUUUUAUUUUUGUAUUUAUAUGGUUUUUAAAGAAAAAGAAAAAAAAAUUAUCCUCCCGCAACCGCCCGCAACCGCAAACGCUAGCUGGAACUAGCUUUUGAUUUUAAGAGGUUCGGAGCGGUUUGAAGCGAUUUGUAGCGGUUUGUAUGAUUGUUUCGAAACGCUGUCAACCGCUACCAACCGCAAAAGCUGCGUUUGCGGGUGGUAGCGGGGAAACCAAUCAAGCUCAUAAUGGCAAGUUAGAUCACCUCCUCCAUCGGAAAUUUCAAUGAAUAUUGUCAUAAAAAAAGAUUUUGAAAGAGAAAUGGGAGAUUCAUCUCUUAAUCAAAAGACUAGAAAAAAUCUUAGACAUUGUUAAAAACACAUGCAUAAUUUUAUUUAGAAAUAAUUAAAUUUAGUAUAUCAGAAAUAAUAAUAAUAACAUAUUGCUCAAAAACUAAAAAAAAACUUAAGCAAAACCAUGGAAAGAUUCUUUAUACACGUGCCAGCAGGUUUCCAAACCACAUGUUCAAGCACAAUGUAAUACUAUAUUUAUAUAGAGUAGAUCCACAUAUUAAAAAUGAUAAAGAAUACUUGUUCAAGCACAAUGUAAUACUACAUGUCUAUAGAUUAGAUCCACAUAUUAAAAAUGAUAAAGAAUAGUUUGUUUCUUCUUCUUUUUCUGUAAAAAAAUAAAAAAUUUGGUUUCUACUGUGAAUUAAUGUAUCGCUGCUUAGCCGGUCUGACUUCGGUCCAAAUGAUUAAUAUAGUAUGUUGUAAUAGACAAUCAGUUCACUCUCUAUCAUUAGUCGAAGAUAUUCAAAUUCGAUCAAACUGAGAUGAUAACUUUCAAAUUACUCUUUCAAAUUACUCUAUCUAGUAGCAUACUCUCGUGCCAGAACCGACCAAAUAGUCUAUAGAGUUUAUAAAAAAUUAGAAAUAGUUAAACUUUAGAAAUAGACAGCAUCCUGAUAAACCAGAAAUGUCGUUCGCAAUGAUAUUUUAUAGGGAAUAUUUUAUAUUGGAGUACAUAAAAUAGCCUUCUCCACAAAAACAUAUGAUAUAGAUUGCUCUACAAAAGAUACUCGAAAAUUUCAAAUAAGACACAUAAUCAUAUCAUAAUAUCAAUAUCGAGGUAACAAAUAAUUCAACUAAGGUAACUCAUAUGUCAUAUUAGUUGUUCCCCGUUUGCCUCCAAUUUCCCAACCAAAUUAACACAAUAUCAUUUUAACUCAACUUAGAUCCGAGCUUAAAGCUCUUGCAUCUAUACUAUUAAAAGGGAAGGAGUUUUAAAAAAUCUACCUAUGAAAAGUUGUUGGACCCUUUCAUUAAACUUAACUUUUUUUUUGGUCUCACCUUAUAUUUCUCUAACCAUGCAAUAGUCAAUUACCUUAUAUUUCUCUAACUAUGCAAUAAUCAAUUACCUUAUAUUUAUCUAAUUUAGUUUAAUAACAUAUUCUAAAUAAAUAUAUUCUAAAUAUAUUGUUAUAAUGAUUUUUGAUAAGAAUAUAUUAUAGAUGCGAUUGAAAAUUUAUAUUAUUAAAAGAAAAUUUUUUUAAAAAUAUUUAUAAAAAAAUUUAUAACAUCUAUAUAAAACUCUUUAUUUUUUAUCCUACCAUUAACUACAAUAACUAUAAAUAAUUUAAAUAAAUCCUAUUAUUAUUUCUCAUUUUGUAUGAUACACUUCUCUAAUUAUUUUUCUUAUUAUCAUCCAAUGUUAUUGUUGUUAUUCAAUAACGUUAUAUACAUCAUAUAUUAUGCUCAAAGAUGGAUAUAUAAUAUUUAGAUAUCAAUUAUUAAAAUGAAAGCAUAUAUCAUACAACAUAUUAUAUCAUGUCAUCUAACAUUAUAUAAUUCUAAAUAUUUACAAAAUCAAAUUUAAUAAAAAAAACACUUUAGCAAAUCAUUUGGUAAAACAAAAUUAUAUAUAUUUACGUUAAAUUAUUUUUAUUACAUUAAUAUAUUAGAAGUUUCAUUCAUCUCUUAAAAUAUUAUUGAAGAUUAUUUUUUUCCUACCAUAUAAACCAAAUACCGGGUCACACUUGAUUGCAUGUUUUUUCGAAGUUUGCAUGCUUUAAAUUAACGAGUUUUCAUUAAAUCUAAACCAGCUUAUGUACAAGUCAUCGUGUUUACUGGUUCGACGACGGGUCCAAACUUAUUAUAAAAGUAUUGUUCUCAUCUAAUUGAAAAUAAUUUAUUAUAAAAUAACAGACGCACUGAGUCUAAUCAAUCCAUAUAUUUUUUUUUGAAAAAAGUAAUCAAACGAUUAAAAAUAUAAUUACAUAAUAAUAAUUUUUUUGACAUAAUAAUAAUUUUGUAACAUAAUAAUGUAUAAUAAAACUAAAAUACUAAUUCAUAUCAUAUAUUUUUAUCAACUGAAAAAUAACCCGCGCUUUUAAGCGCGGGUCAAAAUCUAGUAACCUGUUUUAAAACUCUUGCAUAACUUGUUGGGACUCGCAUUAAGAGACCUUUCAAUUAUAAGAGAAUUUUUAAUGGUACACAAUAUGUUUUUCUAUAAUUCACUUUAAAAUAGAACAAUUAUAUUAUAAAAUUAAAUUCGUUUCAAUAGUUCACUUUAUAAUAACGGAGGUUUAUUGGUAAGUGAAUUCUCAUGAAUUUUGAAAAUUUUUAGAUUUCAUUGUUAUUGGUUCUUGGAUUUCAAAAAUUUUAGUAGAAUCCAUUGUUAUUGGUUUAAGAAUUUUUUAAAAUCCAUUCAAAUCCCUUAUUAUUCAAAAAGUUUAGUUAUUAUUGAUUUUCUGAUUCCAACAAAAUCUAGUGUUAUUGGGAGAUGAAUUCUAUUCAUUUUUACUCAUAAGACUCAACUUUCAAAAUAUCAUAUGUAACCUUGUGAUUUUCAAAAUCCAUGUGAUAAAAAACAAGAAAAAAUAAUAAUUAUUCUUACCAAAUAUCUAUUGCACCUUAAAUCCAAAUUAUAUGUCCAAAACUAUAAUUCAUUACAUAUGCUUUAACAUUUUAGAAUAUAUAAUUAUUUUUAUAAAUAAUUAUCAUUUUGAAUAUAAAUAUUAAUAAUUACAUUUAUAAAUAUUAAUAAUUUUAAAAUAUAUAUUUUAAAAAAAUAGUUUCAAAAGAAAUUCUGAAUUUCAAAAAAAGCAAGAGGUAAAAUCGUCUUUUGCCUUUUUCAUGAAAUUUUUUUUGGUCAUUUUUUCUCUUUUAAUGCUUUUUUUUGACAAAAACUUUAAAAUGUAUAUUUAAGAAAAAUUAUCCAUUUUUGUAUGUAUCACUAUUGUUUUCUUUUUAAUUUGAAAGAAAAAAUAAAUAAUAAUGCUAUAUGAUUUAGAAAAUAAAUAAAUUGUAUAUUUACUUUACAAAAAGAAUGAUAGAAAAUAGAUAAUACAAAUUCAUGAAAUUCUAUACUAAUCCAAAAAAGUUAUGAUCAAAUUUUAUAAGUCAAUGUAUAUAAAUUUUCACAAUCCACAUAACUUUUAAAAUCUAUCAACUCUUAAAAUUUACAAACUCUAUACAAAUUCAUCUUCCAAUAACCCCCCUAAAUCUAUUCUAUAAUAGAGUGACAUAUAAAAUAGUAUUGUUUUUACCUCCAAUACAGAGUAAAAAUACAACAUUACUCUAUAUUUUUUUAUAACUUAACAUUACUCUAUUAUAGAGUGAACCAUUGAGACAAAUAAUUCUAUUAUAGAGGGAAACAUUAAACAAAUUUAAUUCUAUAAUAGAGUUAUUAUAUUUUAGAGUGAAAUAUAAAAAAAAAUAUUAUGUAUCAUUAGAAAUAUAUCAGACCCAUUGUCGACACAACAACGAGACUGUUUCUAUUUCUCAAAACAUGAUAUAACAAAGGUGGUGUUUUUCUGUCUGUCUGAUAUCUGAGAGCAACUCCAAUGGUGUUACCCACCAUUGGAGUCCUUAGGAAUAUAAUAGAUUUUUUUUUGCUUUUUAAAUAGUUAAGGAUUUGACUCUAAAAUGUAUGUCCAAUGGUGUUACUCAAUAUGGAAUCCAUAGCUGAUCUAUCUAUUACAUAUAAUUUCUUUACAAUUUCCAACUCAAAACAAGCCAUGAAUUCAAAGAAGCAGGCAGGUGUUUACCCAAGAUACAGGAAAAAAAAAAAAGACAAAAGGAAACAAUACGAGUGAAUCGAACAUGUGACAUCUUUUGAGUGGCCUGUCAACUGCUUGAGGACAGAAGGCUCUUGCGAGAGACUACAAACAGUUAAGGUCCCAUCUGAUGCUCCAUAUGCAAGUAGAUCAGAACUCAUAUGGCCAAACUUCAGAACAGUAACUACACAAGAGUGAAGGAAAAUCACAAACUAAGUCGAUUAAAUCCAAAAGAAGAUGUAAGAAAAUACCAGAAGAUUUGCAUUGGUCGAAGAUGCAAUGCAUUCCCACGAAAGAAUAAGCAUGUUCAAAACCACCACCACCACGGCGAAAGGAAUGAUCACCAUCACUGAAACUCGAGCUAAAACUCAAUCUCUGGCUCGAAACCUGAUUAGCACUCCGUAAAUCCUAUGAAUGAAUAAAAAAAAAAGUUUACUUACUCUACUUACUCUAUAGUUACAAGAAACUGAAUAUUGCAAGCAAGUCUACUUACUCUACUAGAACUGAAGCUCUCUGCUUCAAACUGAUGGGAGAGUGGACCUGGUGAAGGUAACCAUCGACCACUGUUCCCUGGGAUCGUGACCUUGUUGGGCUUGUUGGUGGAGCCGUUGCAACGCGCGAGGAAAGCGCGUAUGUGCUUAGCAGGGGAAGGAGGGGGAAAGGUCUCUUGAAGAUGCGGAGAGGCGUUGAGCUCGCGCUCGCCGCCGAGGGUUUGAAUAGGCUAGGCAAAGGGCUUGGACUGUAGAAAGGAAAGCCUGAAGAUUUCACCGCUGGAGUUUGAUCGGAGGAAAAACAGAGUUUCAGAGGAAGAGAUAGACUACACGCAAAAGAGGAGGAAGAAGAAGAAGGAGAGAAGCGAGAUUCGUUACAUAUCCUUUGCCAUUGCAUCUCAAAUCCUUCAACGAAACAACAAUCAGAUAGCAAGCUCAACGGUUUGAAGUGAGAGGUUAAAGAGAGAGAGAGAGAGAGAGAGAGCUCACAUAGCGACGAGAGAUGGCGCCGGAUUCGGACUUCCGGGGGAGAAGAAUUCGGCGGAUUCCGAUGUACUGUGGAUCUGAUUCGGCUGUUACCGGCUGCAUCAUACAGCUCAGAAACUCGAAAUCUUUUGAUGGCUUCGGCUUCUCUUCCCCUCACAAAACACAUCCCUUUCCCGAUCCAAUCAGACGUUGCCAGCGCAUCAAGGAUCAACCACAAAUAAAUCCUUCACUAAGGAUUCAACCUCAGCGUAACGUCAAGUUUAAUUAUUAUUUUAUUUUUAAUGCAUAAGAAUUAGCGCUAAGAAAUAGCUAAUAUCCCGCGUUGCAGCUGGUCUGAUAUACUCCUAUUGACUAAAUAAAUUAAAUAAUAAAAGGUUGAUUUGAACAAAACCAAGUAACCAACUAAUCACAAAUACCUUCAGAGUUUAAUGCCACUCAGCACUCACUUUUAAUGAAUGUCAUUAGAGAUGCCUAAGAUGAUAGGUAUAAUCACAUAUAUGAUAAAGGAAAAAAGUCUCUUGGAAGGCCGGUCGAGAUUGAGAACCAAAAUUGACAGACAUCGAGGGAGAUCACACAUAAAAAUGUACAAAAGCUUUGAAGAUAUAAGUGUGCAUAUAUUUAUUUUUUAAAAUGUUUAAAACAACUUUUUGACAUGACGUUUUACUUUAUUUUACGUAAAGUCUCUUUGUUCUUUAAAAAAAAAGAUAUAAUACAAUUAAAUUGAUGAUUUUUCGUAUCUAUGAGUAUCUACCUUACUUUCCUAAAUAAAACAAUCGUACGCCAUUUUGCUAGUUACCCUCAUCUCGCAGUUGACUCGAAACAAAAUUCCCCAAAAUAGCACAUGAUAUUAGCCAUCACAUAAGUAUUUUAACUAAUUAAUUGCAAAUCUACCAAAUUAUAAUAAAUUUGAUUCUCGUCAAUAGAAACCAAAAACCUACCAAAAACUUCACUUAUAAAAACAGAAAAGAGGAAAUUUCCGGGAAGUUGCGUAAGUGGACCCCAACUUAAACAAAAACAACAACACAUACAUAGUCGCCACCUAUUUAUUGAGAACCUGACACAACACACACAGAUGUAAUGACAUUCAAACGUAUUAAGCUAUGGGAAGUAUCGCCGAGCCAUGGGGAAUCUCGGAGAGCGAAAACGCAAACGGGACACCAAAGGGUUUGAGCAGGGAGCUGCGACAUGGGAAAACGGCACACAACAUGUCGUCAUCGUCGCUAAGGAAGAAGUCAGACCUGCGAUUGAUUCAGAACGUUCCAUGCAAAACUCUCAAGAACGUUCUCUCUAAUCUCCAAGAAGUCAUUCUUGGUACUAAACUCGCUCUCUUGUUUCUCGCGAUCCCUCUCGCCGUUAUCGCCGAUUAUUACCACUACGGUCGCGUAAGCUCCUCUUUCAUUCCUCUCUCUCAAUUUUGGUUAAAUUUUCCAGAGAAACUAGGCGAUUAUUGUUCAGUUUCCAAAUGAAUUCCCUGAGUUAAAAUAAUAUUUAGUUUAAGGGAAUAUGAACUUUCUCAAACCAGUUUUUAUUUAAUUUCAAAUUAUUUUACAAACUAAUUUUAAAUAGUAUUACAUCUGUGGAAGAGUAUUAAAUAAUUUGUCCAAAUCCCGUGAGUAAUUUUAUGGUUACAUAAUAAUUAAUUUGCUUUUAUGGUUCAGAAUUUUAAUGUAUCAUGGCCACGUAGUUUAUCCGUUACCUUUAUUUAGUGCGUUGCGUGAAAAAGAUAAAGACAAGUUUAUCUAUUAAUAAAAUACGUUUCUUUUGUUAAAUGUGCGACAGCCGUUGAUAUUUGGACUGAGCUUGAUAGGUCUGACACCUCUUGCUGAGCGAGUUAGCUUUUUGACAGAGUAAGUACUUAUCCAGUUAUCCUCUACAACAAUUCCUUAAUUAGUUUCACUGAUUAAGGAAUAAUUUUAGUAUUUUAUUUUAUUUUAUUUAGUAUCUAAAUCUAACUAACUAAAAUUAUAAAUGAAAUUUGGUUGUGUUGACUAAAUGAGAUGAUUGUUUGAUUAUGUAUUGUUGGUGAAAAUCACUUAUUUACAUUUUUUUUUGCAAUUUUGAAAUGAUGUUAAAAUUUUCUGUUUCUUUAAUAAAAAAAAGUACUUAUAAUAAAAGAUUGUUAUGUGAUUUUAUGCAUUUAAUAAAAUACGUUAACAGCUUUUAUUAUAAACUAGAAUCGUUAUCCGCGCUACGCGCGGAAAAUACUUUUAAAUAUGUUAAUUUUAAGAUUUUAAGAUGGAAAUCUCUUAAAAUAAUGGAAAUAUAAUUUCUAAUAUUAAUUAAGAUUUGAUUGGAUGUUGAUGAAGAUAGAUUUAGUGCACUUAUUAUAUCCAAAGGCAUAAUACAAUAAUUUGCUAGGAUACUAUAAAGAAACAUAAAUAGGUUGGAGAGUGUAUUUUUUUCUCUAUUGAUUUAAUUUGUCUUGAUGUUUUUGUUUCGUUGAAUAGGUGCAGUUGCUCUUGAGUUCAUUAUUUGGUUGACUUCUUGUUCGUUCUUUGAAGUGCUUAACAUAUUUGAUUGAGCUGUUAAAGUAAAGUCUUGUUGCUAGUGAUGAAGCGAGUUGUAAUUUUUCUGUAAUAAUCAGUGUAUUAUUUGUAUGAACAAAAAAUUAAAUAUAGAUCGUUUACCUUUAGAUAGUCAUGGGAUGAUGCUUGUGAUGAUAACAACUUAAAAUUUAUGAGCUUGUGAUGAUAAAAUUAUUUAAGGUAAUUCUUUCAAUUAGAUCAUUUUAAGUUUUAUCACAAAAAUAAAUUUCAAAAACUAAAAUGAUCAAAAUAGUUUUUUUUGUGAAUUUUUUUUUAAAUUUGAAAUCAUAUUCUUAAAACCCCACUCUUCAACUCUAAAUCUCAAACCUUAAACUCUAAACCCUAAACCUUAAACCCUAAAACAUAUCCCUUAACUCUAAACCCUAAUGUCUAGAUUAAUUAACUCUAGGGAUAUAAGUGUAUAUUUACUUAUUUUGAUAAAAUAUUUAAGUCUAUUUUGUUCAUUUUUAUUUUUAAGGUUUAUAUUUGUGACAAAUACUUUUUAGGUAUAUCUUAGGGAAUUUCUCAAUUAGUUAUUUAAAUAUUAUUCUCACAUAUUAGUGAUUUUUUAUGUCAAAUUUGUAUUUUGUAUAUUUAAUAACACCUUCUUGUGUGUCAUUCUUUGGUUUUAAUAAAGAUUAUUCUUGGGUCUACCCCUACCAAUGUCGUUAUUUCAUUUUCGAUAUUUUUAGAAAAAUAAAAUAAAAUAAAAUAUUGUCAAGUUAUAUUAUGUUUUUAAAAUAAAAAAGAUAAAAAUUAAAAAAUAAAAGUAAUUACAAAAAAACAGAAUUUACAAAAAAAAAUAUUUUUAACAUCGUCAGCAAAAUACUAAACUCUAAACCUUAAAUUCUAAACCCUUAGGUAAAUCAUAAUUCCUUGGAGAAAUCCUAAACUAUAAAUCAAAACACUAAACCUUAAUUCCUAAACACUAAAUUUUAACCCUAAACCUUAAAUCUUAAAUUUUAAACUCUUGAGUAUUUAGUGUUAAGUGUUUUUUUAUUUAAAUAAUUAGGAUUUGUUCAAAGGUAUAGGGUUUACCUAAAGAUUAAAAAAUAUUUUUCAAAUUUUGUUUUUAUAACUUCUACUAUUUUUUUUCAUUUUUACCUUUUAUUUUUAAAACAUAAUAUAAAUUGACAAUAUUUUGUUUUUUUUUAAAUAUAUCCAAUAUGAAAUAACAAAUUUUAUUGGUUGAUUAACCUAGAUGUUCACUCUAGGGAUAAAACCAAAAAUAAGUCUUCAAUAAAUGUGUUUGUCAUUUCAUUUUAUUGCUACCAACAUGAUUUUUUUAGUGAUCGAUGAUAAUGCAACUUUAACAUUAUAUAUUAUAUUUUAUCUUAUAUUUUGUAUUUAGAUUUUCCAAUCUUCAUGUUGUCAUUUAUUUUAGAAUCAUUUUCAAUAGGUAAUAGGUUUAAAAGAUGUAAAUAAUACUAUGUUGUAAAUUUAGACUUUUUAGCGCAACUGAACACUAUAAAUUAUGAAAAUUAUAAAUUAAAAUAGAUUGUUUAAUGAUUUUAUUUUACUAAAUAUUUUUCUGUGUUUAUUUGUUGUUUUAUUUCAUAUUUUUAAAAUUUUAUUGCUUUAUUCUUUAAUUGCAGAGAAUUGCUAUUUCCAAUUUUGUACCUUCUUUCUAUCUUUUUUUUUGUUAUUAUUUAAAGGAUCUAAUACUUUUUAGUAGUGUAUAUGAUAUAUACAAAUUUGUUUACUAUUUUGCUAUGAUGGAAAAAAUGUUAUGAAAAUAUUAAUGUGACUGAAAAUAUAUAUCAAAACUAUAUUAUUUAUUUUGAUGACAUAUGAAAAUUUAUUUGUAAAUAAGUUGUAUGUUGCUAUCUGUAUAUAUCAUGUAUUCACUCGUUAAUGAUUUGAUAUUUAUUUAUUAUUUGGACGUCAUUUCUAUUGCUUUCUUGAACUAACUAUUAGUGAUGACUCAUUUUUCAGAACUUCUUUUUUGAACGAAGGCAUCAUUUUCUUAAAACUUUCAUUAUGUUCUUCUUAAUUAAACAAAUCUUUUAUUAUAUUUUUAGCUUCCAUUUCUUUCUUCUUCCCUCAACACUGAUUACAUCAUUUUGUCUCUUUAGCUAAAAAAAAAAUCUAGAAUUCCACCGAUUCUAGAUCAGCGUGAGGUUCGAUUGUGGUUCCAAAACCUAGAGUUCCUGAGAUUCAGACGAAGUGAUAACAUGUAAGGCGAAGCCUCGGAUCUGUAACCACCAGUCAUCCAUAACACGCAACGAAUGAUUCUGCAAUUUGAAAGGUCUCCUUUGUGUCUACUAAUCUAAAGAUCCGAGUCUGAGAUAUGUGAAAAAGGACGAUGAUGAGCUUAAGUUAACCCUGAAGUUGAGAUUCAAUCAUUCUAAAAAUUCCAACUAUACAUACAAAAGGAAAGUUCUUCCAUGAGAUUAUUUAAUAAAGGAAAGAUGUAAAAUGAUUCUCACAUUUCCUUCGGUUUCAAAACCUUCAUAGCUUGACAGACUGUAGAGAAGGACCAUGACUUGCCUUUUUGAUCAGUUCUUUGUAUUCCUAGAUAACAACAUAUUGAUGGAGUGAUAUAUUCUUGGUCUUGUUCCUUUUGAUCUUAUCUUCCACUGAAUCUCCUCUUUAAUGAAUCUGACAAACAUUAAAAAACAGGCAACGAAGUUGACUUUCGUUUUCGGUCUUAGUGGUUCGAUCCGAUAGCUAUUAAACUUAAGCGGCAUUCCUCUAAAAUACAUAAGAUGAGACUUUGUUUAACUGAAGAAGAUGAUGUCCUGAUGACAUAAACUUAACACGUUUUACAUAGUAUUUUUUAGAUUAUCACGUCGGAACUAUCAAAUGAUGCCUUAGAGAAUUACCAUAAUAUCACAUCAAUAUCUCAGUCACAAAUCUAAACACAUCAAGGGGAUCCUAUGUUAAUUCACAUUUAGUUUGAGAGUUCAUUUUAAGACUAAGAACGCAAUAACUGAAUCAGUAUCCAUAUUACUGAUUCAAUACUCCUAAAACACGUACAGUAGGUAAAGGAUACAGUGAUCUAGGAAAAUAAUUUAUGGUGGAUCCAGAAAGAAGGAGAUCAAAGAACGAACCAGAGUUAGCGUUGUACUAAUAGUGAUGAUCAUGAUAGCAGGAAGUGAUUGUAUUUUGUUGUGUAGGCUGAGGCUGAGAAGUACCCUGACAGGCACCUUCGUAAGGCGCAGAUUGGUAAUACCUAAUCAAUUUGAUCACCAGGAAAAAAAGAGAUUUAGAGUCGUGCCAGAAGAUCAAAAGGUUCAUCAAAAGGUUUACAAUAUUACAUACCUGGAGGAGGAUACGAUUCAUGCGCUUUAGCUUUGGAACUGUUAGGCUUACAUCGCCAUUACUUCAGUUCAGGGGAUCUUCAGGUUUAUUUGGAAGUAAGUUUAUAAAGGAGGAGAAAGAAAGGGAGGUGAGACGAAUUCAUUAAGAGGGAGUGAAGAACAUAAUUGAUUGUUGAAGAGAGUAAUGGAGAUUUAUUGCCUGCUAUAGGAAACGGAGAAGACGGAGUCUCUAUGGAAGAAACAAUCAACGCUUCAUUAGGAAUUUAGAAUUUUGAGAUGUGGGCUCGAUCUGGGCCAAUCUUUAAUAUUGUAAACCCACACGGAGAAGUUUAUUGUUAUUCAUUUUUAGACUGAUAUGACGUGUCAAAAAAUAUGUUCUUCAUUGGUAGAUUUUUUAGUCCUACGUGGAGGGGCUGAGAGGGGAGGAUAUCCCCCUUUUAGUAUAGGAUAGAUUAUAUAAGAAUCAAGUAUCAUAAAAUGGAAUUUGUAGUUACAGAUCGAUCAUACAACCAUAUAUUUGAAAGAAAAAUAUACAACCAUAUAUCACAUAAAGAUUAUAAUAGACCAUGAUUAUUCUCCCUUUACCCGUACUGUCAUAAUGAUUGUUCUCCCUUCACCCGUGCAGGCAACUAGCUUUCUACACCGGCCCAACAGGUAACACAUUCAUACAAAUUGAACUAUCAAUUACAGUAUGUAAAUGCAAUCUCGGUAAUGUGCUUAAAUGUUUCAAUGUAUUUACUUUGGCAGUGGGCGGUUUGUUGAACGCCACUUGUGGAAACGCGACGGAGCUUAUAAUAGCGAUACUAGCGUUGGCCAAUAACAAAGUGGCAGUUGUUAAAUACUCUCUGUUGGGUUCAAUUCUCUCAAACCUUCUCCUGGUUCUCGGCUCUUCCCUCGUCUGUGGUGGAAUUGCCAAUAUCCGCCGCGAGCAGCGGUUCGACCGGGUAUAUAUAUGCUCUCCCCCUUUGUAGAUUCCGGUUUAAUUCUUAUGAUAAUUUGACAAUAACCAAUACCGAAUUUAGUGUAACCAAACCUAACAUAAUUAAUUAUAAUAUAUAAGAAUGCAUUGAAAUACAGUAAGAAUUAUCCAAUUUUUCCAAAUAAUUCGUAGCGGUUAUCAAAGCUGAUGUGAUUAUUUUUAAUGUGAAUUAUUCUCAUCAUUGUAACAGAAACAAGCUGAUGUGAACUUCUUUUUGCUGCUCAUGGGUCUGCUAUGUCAUUUACUCCCAUUGCUGCUAAAAUAUGCAGCGACCGGAGAAGCAUCGACCUCUCUGAUCAACAAAAUGUCGCUUAGCCUGUCCAGGACAAGCAGCAUCGUCAUGCUUAUUGCUUACAUUGCUUAUCUCAUCUCCCAGCUCUGGACUCACCGCCAAUUUUUUGAAGCACAAGAGGUAACUAAAAGUUAUAAUUUGCUAGACCAAGUGGAAUGUGAAUAAAACUAUAUUAUAUGUUCAAUGGAAUUCAGGAUGACGAGGAUGAUGCGUAUAAUGAUGAAGUGACCGUUGAAGAAACUCCGGUGAUAGGGUUUUGGAGCGGAUUUGCUUGGCUAGCUGGGAUGACACUCGUCAUCGCAUUGCUAUCAGAGUAUGUUGUGGCCACAAUCGAGGUAAUUAAUUAAAGUUUAUAUGUUUAAACUCCAUGAAUUAUAUAAGAAAACAACAACAAUAUUAAUAUGGAGAUUAUAAAUAUUUGGUCAGGAUGCAUCGGACUCAUGGGGACUAUCAGUGAGUUUCAUAAGCAUCAUAUUGCUUCCCAUUGUUGGAAAUGCCGCUGAGCACGCUGGAGCCAUCAUCUUCGCUUUCAAAAACAAGCUCGUGAGUUAUAUUUUGCUUUACAACGUUCUAGACUGUGGCAUUUUGCUUGUCUGAGUUUGUUUAUGCUUAGUGUAAAUUUUUUGUUAAAAUAUAACCUACAAUAUUUAGAAUUUUUAAACAAAAUCUGCUUGUUGCAAAAAUAUUUGAUAGAAAAGAGAUGAAUAUUUUGCAAAAAUACUUAACAAAUUGAUCACAAUGUUGCAGGACAUAUCUCUAGGGGUCGCGUUGGGCUCUGCAACUCAGAUUUCUUUGUUUGUGGUAAGUAAUGAAAGAUUCGAUGAAAUGUUUACGUUCGAUGUAACAAGAAAUCUAAGACGAUAUUAACGAGUGUGUUUUCUCAGGUCCCUUUGAGUGUUAUCGUUGCGUGGAUCAUGGGAAUCAAGAUGGAUCUCAACUUCAACACCCUUGAAACAAGCUGUCUAGCCCUGGCAAUUAUCAUCACAGCCUUCACUUUACAGGUUAACAUUUCUCCUUACACUUACAAUCAAAUAUUAUAUUAGGAUAACAAUAUGAAUACAUCUAAUUUUAAUAUAUUUUACUUUAUAAUAAUCGUUUGUAUUUUUUGGGAUGGUUAUUAGGAUGGAACAUCUCAUUACAUGAAGGGACUUGUUCUAUUGUUGUGCUAUGUCAUCAUCGCCGCAUGUUUCUUCGUCGACCAAAUUCCUCAGCCAAAAGGUACCGGCCUGGAGAUGCAACCCAAGAACAGUGAGGGAGGAGGAUUUGUCUCUGCUUAGAAUGGAUAGAAAGAAAUCAUCAAAUGACUUGGGAAACAAAGAAAGACAAAUAUGAUUUGAUUGAUUUGUAAGACAAAACGGGAGAGACUUGUUAGAGAGAUUCCUCAGCAUGAAUGAGAGCUAGUGAGUGAGGUAGCUUGGUGAAAACAGGUUUCUUUGAUGUUUUAUAAGAGGGUUACAUUUGUUUCUUUUUGUUUUGUUGGGAUUUUAUGUUUAAUCUUGUAUAUUAUAAAAACUAUAUAUAAAAGAGCUUAGCUGGUUAUCUCAUAAACCCAACCAAUCAGGCUACAAAAAUUUAUUUGGUUGGUUGAUGAAUUGUGGUUCUAAUUUACUAUUGUUAUCUAGCUUAUGACAUGUUCAAAAAGACUAGUCUGCAUUAAAUUUGGUAAUUACAUUCGACUUUAAAAAAAAUCAAGAAACACAAGAUGCAUUAGAAGGAGAGUUUAGUCAUGUUACAUAGUUUGGUACAUUGUUUGUUGUGGAUAAUAAACUGAAACAAACCUCCUUGUUGAACCGCUAAGAACUGUUUCGCUUUCUUAGGAAAGUAAAAAAAAAAGUACACACCAUUUGGAUCUAUAGUUGUUAACACACAUUUAGUCUUCUUCCUCGUCAUCAUCAGCAUCAUCAUCGUCAUCUUCAGCAUCAUCGUCAUCUCCUGCCUUUCCCUUAUCUGGCUGCGCUUCCUGCAGAGAAACAUUAAGCAAAACUCUUCAGAAACCUAUAACUCAACAAGCAAAACACAAUGGGUAGCGUACAAAACUCUGCAUUGUUUAUAGGAAUUGUUACCUCCUCACUAGCUUCAUCUUCAUCAUUCACCUCAGACCUAGACUUUUCAGAUUCAUCACUCCCUUCCUCCUGCACCCAUUGCAAGAAGAUCAGAGUUAAGACACGAGAAAUGUCUUCUAUGCGAGAUAUGGCUUGAAGGCUUACCAAGUUUUUGUUGUAUGCAUCCAUAAGCUUUUCAUAUUCAGCUUUCCUCUUCGCAGCUUUCUCUUCAUAUGGAGCUUUUUCCUUCAAAAGGGAAGAGGGUGAAAACUAAUGGUCAGUAUCACACACUAGUCACCUUUUUGAUCUAAAGAUCACAAUAGAGUAUUCACAAGUGAUGUGUUUGUACGGUUAGCAGAUAUAUCCAUCAAAGUAUAAGACUUACAUCUUGAGACAUUGACUUCCAUUUCUGACCUGCAGCUUUCCCAACCUUCACAAGAACAAGCAAAGGUAAAGACUAUGAGGACUUGAUCCAAACAAAGGAUUUAAAGUACAUGUAACACUUUCAAAGGAAUCUGCCAAUUGCUUACAGCAGAUACAGCCUUCACAUUUGGAUUAUCUUUCUUGAAAGUUAUCCUAAAAUCUUCUCUGAAACAAAAGAAACCAAACCAGUAACAUUAGAACAUAUUAAAGAAACAACAAAAAAAAAAGUGAAAGCAAGGAUCCAAGAAUACUACUAACAGGAAGACAAAGAAGGCACUAGAAGCUCUUUUGGGUUUGUUAGGAUCCUUCUUGGCCUUCUUCUCUUUACGAGUCUCUCCCUUCUCAGCCGGUGCCUUCCUCUUUCCCACCUUUCUGAAAAAUUCAAAAAAGCCUUCACCUUUAUAUUUUUGAUGAAACCACAAAAGACAAGAUGCUUUAAAGGACGCCGAACCUGUCAUCAACAGGCUUCAAGGCUUCCUUAGUGUUCUUAGCUUUAUCUUUCCCCUUUGCUGUCUUCAUCUUGGAAACUGUAUAGAACCAAGCAAAUUGAAACAAGUUCAUAGCAAAAACUCAACAUAGAACAUAAUAAUAAUAUCAAAACAACAAAACAAUAGAGAGAAUCAAUUACCCUAGAAGAGUACUCAAGAAGGAUGGCAGAUAUGUUCGUUUCAGACAAACCUAAGCAGAACCAAAAGAGAAAGACGGUCGGAGAGAAAGAGAUGCUUAUUACCGGUUACCUGUUUAACCUAGGAAGAGUGCACAAGAUCCCAUACGAUUUGACCUGCUAUAGGCGGUGAGAUGAUAAUAGUAAAGGAAGGUCGUUGAUUUGAACGGUUGCGAUCAAACGGUUACCCGCCAAAUAGAUGAUACGAUAAGGAUGUGACGGAAGUCACGUGCGGGUCUAAGAUGGGCCGGUCUUUUAUUCAAGGUAAGGUUAGUGUGGGGUAUAUUAUGGCCCAGACUUGAUCCAAUACCUAAUAUGAAUUUAAGUGGUAACAACACCAAAUUUCACACUUGCAAACCGUAUUGACUUUUCAAUCAAUUUCGAGAAAAUCAAACCAGACCAAACCAAACCGAUCAUUCCAAAAAUCUCAAGAUUAUGUACACACAUUUUUUAAUGACUAGAAAGUUCUAAGUUCAUAAAUUUGUAUACCUGAGUUUCGUAUUUUUUACGCUACAUUUACCUUUGAUUGUAACGUCGAGAGAAAACUAAGACUCCAGAUUGAAUGUGACUCAUCAUCAAUAAUCAAAUAUUAUACAAAAUGCGUUUUUCUUUUACCUUUUCCUGAUAUUUGAGAUUACAUCAUACUAUUUGGUAACGAGUAGUCACAAACGAUUAAACAGAAAAAAAAGGAACUAGACGUUGUUCCAACUCUCUCCUUUGGAGGCCGGUUCGGUUUUUAAAGUGUGAAGCAUGAAACUACAAGCCUCCACGGCUUCUCCAACCGUUAAGAACAUCCAUUCUUUUCCCAACUUGUCAUCGAUGAAUUUUGAUCUGGUCAGUUUCUUUACAACUUCUCCUUUUGGAUUUGCCAAUACUAGCUGAGAAUUAAAAAAAAAAAUAACGUGAGAAAUAUUAUUAUACGGCAACACAUCUUAAAGAAGUAUUAUUAUACGACUUGCUACGUUACCUUCAACGCUCUUCGGUCAAUGAUUUUCUUAAUUUCCUCCAUCAUGCUUAUACCACUCGUGUCGAUAUUACCGACAGCUGUUUUGCUCAACACGCACACACAAAGUAAGCCUUGAUCAAAGACAAUGUCAGAGAAAAUCAAGAUAUGUAAUUACCGGACAAAUCGAGUAUAACAUAUUGUAAACUGUUUUCUCCUGAUGUUUUGACCCUUUCUUCUUCUUCAUUGAUCCACCUUGUGAUUCUGUGCCCAAUAUAUAAAAGAAUGGAAAAAUAAAUAACUAACAUCCAUAUUUGGCAUGUAUUUAUGAAUUAGGGUUAAGGUUACCUCUCACGCAAGUAUCCAGCGUUGGUAAAGUAGAUCGGUGCAUCAAUCUCCAAGAUGAGAAGACCAGGAACCGUUCUUGAGUAAGGAUACUGUUCAGUGUUUCUAUAGAUCAUGCUGUUUGGUAUGUUUCCCUUUAUCGCAGUUCUCGGCCUUGACAUGAAUAGCAACAACCUUGCUAUAGAUAUCGCCACCUUCACCACACGAAAAACAAAAAAAACAAAUUACGUUUAAACAUGUAUAAAAAGUAAUCAUUUUCUUAUAAAUUAUUUUGUAUAAUGUAAAUGUUGCGCUAAAGUAUACACUUACUGCUACAACAAGUCCGAUCUCGACACUACCGAAUACGACCCCAAAGUAAGCGCUCAUGCAGACAAGGAAGUCGAAUUUGUCGACAUUCCAGAGAUGAAUAGCAGCUUGGUAGUCGAUGAGUCCAAGCAUUGCGGAUAUGAUGAUGGAGGAGAGGACGACGAGUGGUGUGUAGUGGAAUAGCGGCGUAAGGAAGAGCAAUGUGAACAUAACCGCAAUUGCCAUCACUAUGUUCGACACCACAGUCUUACAACCCGCGUUGAAGUUCACGGCCGAUCUCGAAAAUGGUCCUAGUAGUGUGAUACGUUGUAAUUAAUAUUUUUUUUAAAAAAAUCAUGCUAUAUGUAUAUAGUUAAUGUGAUAAUAUAGAAACUUUAGAAUGUGUGUUCGUACCGGUUGUGAGGUAACAAGAUGUGAGGGAACCAACGAUGUUCAUCAUUCCAAAAGCGAGCAUUUCUUUGUUUCCGUCUAUGUUGUAGUUCUUAAACAUCGCAAAGCUCCUUCCCACAGCGAUUCCUUCCUACAUUUAUACAUGAAUUUCACUUUAUUUUGGAUGGGUCUUUUUCAAUUGCUUAUUAUGAGUUAUAUAGGUUGAUCGGAUUGGUUAGUUUCCUAGCCUUUAAUUUAAAUGGAGAAUUCAUUAUUUAGACACGGAUAAGAGCCGGUAUUAAUUGAACAAAAUCGGUCAUGGAUGAAACAUUCGCGAGCCAAAAUUUUAAAACUAUAAUAUGCAUAUGUCUUAUGGUUUCCAAAUUAUACAAUUUUUUAUUAAGAUUACUUUAAAUAUAUUUUUUGACAAUGAACUUCAAAAUAUUUAUGGAAUAAUUGUUUCAAACAUAAUUAUUCUAUUAAAUUUCCUCUAUCUAUUGUAUACACUACAAUAACACAACAACAACAGAAAUAGUAUUCCACGUUUUAUUCAAUAUUUGUAUAGCUAGUCUCUAGUUCUAUAUAUAUUGUAUAAUCUAGCAAAAAUGAGAGUAAUUAAAAGGGUGUUUAGGAGUCAUGAGACUUACAGCGAGAGCUAUGAUCCCAGUGAUGAUGCCAGUUUUAACAGCCGUCGACAUGUAAGGCGAAGUAAAGACCAUAUCAGACACGGAGAGUGGAUUCAACCCUUUCUUCAGGUUCCCUAUCUGGUACAAUCAUACACUUCUUUUACUCUAUCAUCACUUUCCAAUCCGGACAAAAUAUAAAAAAUGUUCAAAAUGCCCAUAUAAGCCCACGUUUUGCUUCUUGUAUAUUUUUCCUCUACCCAUAAUAUUCUACCUAACGUUUCCCUUUUUAUAUUUUGGUUAAAUGUGUGUGUAUAUAUAUAUUAACUUGUCAGAUUUCAGUUAAAGGUAUACAUACCUGGCCUUAAUAAAUUGAAUAUUUUUUACUGUAAUAUUAAAAUAACUAGAUUGAAAACAUACCACUUGAACACCAUGUCUCUCAGCGUGAGUGAAGUAAACCAAGAGGCUUCCAAGAAUCACUGAGGUCAAAGGAGUCAUUGCCGCCACCCAAAAGAAUUUUGGUUUCUUCGUGCUCUGAUAAUCAAUUCGUCAUUCAGAAAACAAACACACAUUAACUAUAAUUACUUUUUCGAUUGUACAAAAUUUAAUUUUCUAUUAUUUAAUGCCUUAUAUAUUCUUUGUUAGAAAAAGAUUGAUAAAGACAAAGAGUAUAGAUUAAUGGAAUCGAAAUAUCAUUGAAGCGUGUUUUUGUUAAAAUCCGCCUUGUCGAAAAGAAAUGGAUUAAUCGAUAUAUUAAGGUAGAAUGAGAAAUAAUAAUACUUACGAAAUAUCUGGUGGAAAGAAGGAAGAAAAGGAAACCACAGCCGAGAACGCCACUCUCCCAUUUCCACUACACAACAAAUAAACAAACAGAACACACAUGUUUAAUAAUGUCUAAGUACAAUUAUUAAUUUGAUUAGGAGAAUAAUCACUGACAUUGGGAAUGAUAUGAUCACUGACAUUGGGAAUGAUAUAUUUGGAUGUAUUAGUGAAUAAUUAACGUAAGGAAUAAACAAACAGAAACACAUGUUUAACAAUGUCAGAAACCAUGUCUUCAUCCAUAGGAUUCCAAUAUACCCAAUGUCACCUGGUGAGUUUGGGAGAAGACGGAACGCAUGACGGAGAUAAUAUCAGUGGCUUCUGUGAAAUGUGUAAGUCCAAAUAUACCCUUAAGCUGUUGCAAGCUCACCACCGUCGCUGCUCCUCCCAUGAAUCCCACUAUUGUUGCAUGCGAUAGAAAAUCCACUAUGAACCCCAACCUGCAAAUUUUUUUUAGUUUUUUUCGUUAAUUUAAUUGUUUGUAGUUAAUGACUAUUAAUUAUUAGGUUGCCUCAUUAACACAUCAUGACCAAGUUAGCCAGUCUCAUCAUGUAGUGCUCCUAACCCUUUUCUACCUACCUAUACGUCACAGAAAUCAUCUCUCAUGUGCUUUUAAACUAAGUAGAAGUUUAAUAAAUUAAUUAAUCUUUAUCCCACUAUCAGGACUGCCCACUAUGACCACAUAAUAUAAACUGAUCAUGCCUAAAAGUAAAUACAUUUCGUUAAGAUUCUCUAUAGUUUUUUUUUUUAUUCUCUAUAGUUACUUCGCUUUGUCCCCCAUAGGCACGUUAAUCAGCAACUAUACAAGUUUACGUGAUGUAACUCGCCAUGACGAAUGUCACUCAUUACUCAUGGCCUAGUGCUUUCUAAAUUAUUUAUCAUGUUUUCUAUAUUUUUACGUACAAACAAAAUAAAAGCGAGUUAAUAUGUAAAAUAAAAGUUACUAGUAUUUGGUAAUAUAUAUUUUUAUGCCGGAAUCUUUGUUACACAUGCUUUGGAUCUAUAUAACUCCCAGUCUCCCAUUUUAAACUUCAGGUAGGCUGAUUUUAAGUAAAAAACAAAUCAUGUAAAUGGAAAUAAAUUAAAAACGAACCUGAAAAUGCCGAGGGAGGCUUCGAGAACGCCUGCGAAGAACGUGGCAGUGAAAGCAAGAUGAAGGUAGAGCUUAGGAUCUUUAUCAGCGUUAACUUCUUUGCUAAGCAUCGCACCUAUCAACAAAGACCCAACCGCCGUCGUCCCCACCGCCAAAUCCCUUGAACUCCCCAGCACCGCGUACACCAAUGGUGGAACAAAACUCGAGUCUAACCGCCACGGAAACAAAAAAAAACAAAAAAUUAGAUACUUUUGAAUAUGUAUAUGUGUAGUAUAUAUAUAUAUUUGAGUUGACGACAAGAGCAUAAAAUGCUGGAACCGAGGUUGUCGAAAUAACCGUUUUCAAAAAAAGAAGAAGAAGGUAUAACGCUUACAAAGGCCAAGAAUGGGAGGCAAGUUAGCGAGUUUAGCGUAACUAAUGCCCUGUGGGAUGGCUAGGCUAGCGAUGGUGAUACCGGCUAUGAGAUCUGACUUGAACAACGUGAGAUUGUAGCGUGGAGCCCAUUCACAUAUUGGGAAGAAGUAUUGGAGGCCUAGUACAACUUUUCUUGAUGCGUUCUGGUUCUUGAAUUGUCUGAAAGGAUCGUCUGGAAACAAAGUCUCCUUCACUGAGUACUGAAGUGACUUCAAGAACGGCUGAGGUUCCGGAGUCUCCACCGUGUGGUGGCGAAGGUGCGGCUCCUCCGCUCCUUGAGGAAAUGUGUAGUCAGCCGUUCCCAUAUGAAGACCGGUCGGUUUUGGAAGGUUUUUGUUGGAUUCUUUUUUUCUUUCUUUUUGGCGGCUGUAAGUGAGGAGUGAGGAGAAGAGCCAAGGUGGGUUCUUCUUUUUAUACUAUUUUUAGCAUAGUGUGCACUGUGCAUUAGUAAAUAAAUAAUUAUAAGAAAAUAAUACAAAGUACUAUCAAAAUAGAUCACCCAGUGAAACUGAGUUACCAAAUGAACCACUCGUAAUUAUUCCAGUUGUUUAUUUUCUGAAUUAUUAUUUUGAGUUGAGGCCAGCUAUACGAGGCCAAUAUAAUCAUGGACGCAGAUCUACCUGGUAUCCUAAGUUUUUUUAAUAUUCGUAAUUUUUUAUGGUAUGCUCUAUCUAGUUUAUCAUAUUUCAUUUCAUAUCAUACAAAAGAAACAUCAAGAGAGUAAGAAAAUAGAGAUGGAAGAUGGACGAAACACCGGCUCACGCAUAUAUGAGUCUGACUGUCAGAGUCUGAAUGUCAGAUGCAUGUCUUGUCCCGACACAGCACGCAAGAGCCAGAAAGCUGACGUUUCCACUUUCAGUCAUAUCUUCCAUUUCUACCCCUAGCUAACUCUACGACUACUGACUUCACUUCAUCAUCGUUCCCAUCCAUCUCACUACACCACUUUAUAAUGUAUGGCUCUGCCGACACUUUGGCAAUUAGCAGAUGGGUUAUUAACUAAUUUUAGUAUUAUGUUUUUUGGGUAAAAAUGUUAAGUAUUUAGUAUUAUGUUUGAUAUUUAUAAAUAUCCAAAUAUACAUAUAGUAAGGUAGAUUCUACCAGGUUUACGUCACAGGAUUUUGCGAUGUGGGAUAUUUUUGGAAAAGCUAUCGUGAAUGUGCCUAACGUUAGGAGUUGGAGAUGACGAUACAGCAACACCAAAUGGUCACAAUACUUUAGUCGGUGUUAGAUAUUAUACCUCCUUAUACACUUGUCAUUUACAAUGUUAUGUUCUUACUUUAUGUAAUUAUAAGUUUCUCUCUAACUGUUAAUUUUGCACCCAAAAAAAAAACUAACUGUUGAUUUUGGUAACGGAUCCAAACACAUGAAACUGAACGUUGCUUCAGUAAUGUCUUCGGAUUAACCGUUCCAAAUAUAAAAUAAUCUAAAGUUGACCAAAAGCUUGCGUUUCAGAUACUAACAUUUUGCAUAAGAACACAUACAAAGGUAGGAAAGUAAGAUACUAAAUAGUUGAGCCUAAUGCAUUUCCGUUUCUUUGUACGAAGAAGUGCGAUCACAGCUGGAUGGGAACGUGGUAAAUUAUUAAUUGACCAAAUUUAUUCAUUACUUGUUCAAGUUUUGAAUAAUUUCCAAAUUUUAGCAAAGAAAAAAAAAGUUUUGAAUGAUUUGGCCCUAUCUUCAAAUGUGUUUAUGACUUGUCUGUUUCCUGACCAAAAUUCAUUUGCAUGCUAAACAAUCAGCACCAAUCCAAAUAUUGCAAAAAAAAUAUUUUAUGACCCUAAGCAAAGAUAGACAAAUAAUAUGCUUUCUUUUUUUGCAACAAGAUAAAUUAUAUGCUCAUAUAGUGAAAAUUAUAACCAAAAAUGUAUAAUGGAAAGAAAAAAGAACACUACACAACCCAUGGGCCUUUAAUCAAUCGCUUAUGUAGCUUAAGUUACGGGCCGGCGCUGUAGACAAAGUAGAGGAGUAACAAAAAUCAUCAAUAUAAAGUUUAUCACCUGGUGCCAUCACCGUAGUAUUCUUGAUGAUCUCCCCGAGUUUUUUCCAUUAUUUUUAUAAAAUUAACUAAAUUACGUUUAAUUAAUAUAGUCUCGUUUAGUUAACUGAUUGUCCACCCGAUUAUGUUUAGUAUCUUUAACAAGUAAUCAAAGAGUCUUAACCACUAAAUCAAUUAUUCCUUGAUUUUUGAGAUAAAGUACCAAAUUACCAAUUAUAGUGAUACUAUAUACCAAUUAAUAUAGUCUCGUUUAGUUAACUGAUUGUCCACCCGAUCUGAAGGAUUUUGCUUUGGGAUUGGAGGUUGGAUGUUGUGGAUGAGAUCUCUUUGAGUCGAUUGAUGAUCUCCUCUGCAUGGUGAGUCUGAUAUGGGUAAAGUUCCCCUCGUGUUUAUGGUUUAGGAUGAUGGAUGAGGUCUCGAAUAGGUCGAUUGAUUCUCUCCAUGAAAUAGAAAUCAAGCGAGGAAAGAAUUUGCGUUGAAGUUGGUUGGUGUGUUGUUAGUGAGCCUAUUUCCCGGUGUUUUCCGGAGAUUGCCGUUUAGUUCCGGCGACGUCUUGGUCGGUGAAGACGGUGAAGUGCUUCCAAUACGUGUCGCUCCGUUCUUGUGCGGUGAACACGUUGACGUGACCUGUUACCUUUUCUUUCUCUGUUGUUUUUUUGGGUUUUAAGUGGGCCAUUGUUGUUGGUUUGAAUUUUUAUUUGUCUUGUGUUUAUGGUGAUCCAAAUCAACAAUAUCGACAUUUACUAUGGGAAAGAAUACAGAGAAUUGGAGUCUCUAGAAAUGGUCCUUGGCUUUUAGUUGGGGAUUUUAAUGAAAUUCUAAAUAAUACAGAAAAAGAUGGAGGUGUAGUACGGGAUGAAUCUACUUUUCAAGACUUUCGCAAUCUAUAUGUAGCCUGUGACUUACGAGAUUUACGUUCUACUGGGGACAAAUUUUCGUGGGUGGGUAAACGUAAAACACACGUUAUUAAGAGUUGUCUUGAUAGAGUGGUAGCAAAUUCAGAAUGGUUAUCUUUAUAUCCAGCAUCAGAAGCAGAGUUCCUUCGAUUAUCAGGAUCUGAUCACCGUCCGGUUGUUACUACCGUGUCUUUUCUUAAUCAAAGUCAUAAGAAGCCAUUCCGGUUUGACAAGCGUUUAUUCAAAGUCAAAGAUUUUAAAAAGUACGUUGAUUCGGGCUGGAAUUCUUUGGGUGGAGGACGACAAAUCCUAAUUGGAAAGAGGAUAGCAGAUUGUAGAAAAGCAAUGUCAGUUUGUCGUCAGGAAAAUAAAUUAAACGCUGCUAAAAGAAUAGAAGAUUUGCAAUAUGAGUUAGAUUUUGUUUUAACGUCUUCGGGUCCUAUUCGGAGUCAAAUUCCAAGAAUAAAAAAAGAGCUCGCGCAAGCAUAUCGAGACGAGGAAACCUACUGGUACCUCAAAAGUCGAAAUAAUUGGUUAAGUUGUGGUGAUCGUAAUACUAAAUUUUAUCACGCCACAACUAAAGCAAGAUUUUCUCGAAAUAAAAUCCAUGCCGUUCAUGACGUAAAUGGUUUCGUAUAUAAGGGAGAUGAGGCUAUUGGUAGACAUGCUGAAUGUUUUUUCAAAGAAGUGUAUCGUGGAGGGAAUACAUCACUACUUCCAUCUGUUUUUAAAGACUUCAAGCCAACGGUGACUGCCGAUAUAAAUGAUGAUAUUACUAGGGAUAUUUCUAACGAAGAAAUACAUGCUGCAAUUUGUCACAUUGGUGCAGACAAAGCUCCAGGCCCGGAUGGGUUAACGGCUCGGUUUUAUCAACAAUGCUGGGAUAUCGUAGGAGAAGCAAUUUGUGAGGAAGUUAAAGGUUUUUUUGCUACAGGGAAAUUAUCGCCAGGACUUAACCAUACAAAUAUAUGUAUGAUACCAAAAAAUAAGUGUCCUCAAACACUGUCUGAAUUUCGUCCAAUUGCUCUCUGUAAUGUCCUCUACAAAAUCAUAAGCAAGAUUUUGGUUUUUCGGCUGAAAUCUUCCCUUGACAAAAUUGUCUCGGAUUCACAAGCAGCUUUUAUUCCAGGUCGAUUAAUCAAUGAUAAUGUUAUGAUUGCCCAUGAGCUUAUGCAUUCUCUUAAAUCAAGGAAACGAGUGUCUCAGACAUAUAUGGCUGUUAAGACAGACAUCACUAAAGCUUAUGAUCGUGUUGAUUGGAAUUUUCUCGAAGGUACCUUACGAGCAUUUGGAUUUGCAGAAAAAUGGAUAUCUUGGGUAAUGGCUCUGGUCAGUACAGUUGAAUAUUCAGUGCUUAUUAAUGGGGUUCCUCAGGGACAUAUCAUUCCACAGCGGGGGUUACGUCAAGGAGAUCCAUUAUCUCCAUAUCUAUAUAUUCUCUGUGCUGAUAUUUUGAGUCAUCUAAUUGAUGUUCAAGUUCGGCGUAAGAAAAUAAAUGGUAUUAAAAUUGGACAAGGGACUCCAUCUAUUACUCAUCUAUUUUUUGCGGAUGACUCUCUCUUUUUCUGCAUUGCUAAUCAAAAAAAUUGCAAAGCUCUAAAAGAAGUGUUUGAUAUCUAUGAAAAAUGCUCUGGUCAAAAAAUAAAUCAAGACAAAUCAGUAAUAACUUUUGGUUCUAAGGUUCAUGGUUCUAAACAAGACUCCUUGAAACACAUCCUCGGAAUCUCAAAUCAUGGUGGUGGUGGGAAGUAUUUGGGUCUACCAGAGCAGUUUGGACGGAAAAAAAAAGAAAUGUUUAGUACAGUUGUUCAACGUGUUAAACAGAGAACGUCUCAUUGGAGUACUAAAUUUCUUUCACCAGCUGGUAAAGAAGUUAUGAUCAAAUCGGUUGCCGUAUCAACCCCUAUUUAUUCUAUGUCACACUUUAAACUCCCUGUUGCAACAACACAAGAGAUAGAUGCCAUUUUAAUGAGAUUCUGGUGGGGAAAAAAUGAUCUUAAAGGUCUACCAUGGGUGGCUUGGAAAAAACUACAGUAUACGAAGAAAGAAGGAGGACUUGGAUUCAAAGAUUUACCCAAGUUUAAUGAUGCUCUGCUUGCCAAACAAGCAUGGCGAAUCUACUCAAAACCAAACUGUCUUUUUUCCAAACUUUAUAAAGCCCGAUAUCUUAAAGGAAAACAACUUCUAGAAGGGAAAACAUGUCGUAAGCAGUCAUAUGGAUGGAAAUCUUUGCUUGCUGGUAUUGAUGUUUUAAAGAAAGGAUGUAGCUACAUUGUGGGAAAUGGCAAAGAUAUACGAGUUUUUCAAGAUAACUGGUUACCUGUUAUUCCACCUCGGCCUGCUUCUACAACAAUGAAUUGUGAUUUAUUCGUUAGUGAUUUGAUCACAACUUCACCUUACAAACAUUGGAAUCCGGUGGCACUACAGUCCUAUUUAUGCGACGAGGACCAACGUCUCGUAAGCCAGAUAUAUUUAAGCCAAACAGAAAAAGAAGAUAAGUUGAUUUGGAGUCAUACACGAGAUGGAAACUAUACGGUGUCUUCUGGGUAUAAGGUUGCUAGGCAUGCACCAGAUUAUUUGAUUGAAGCCCCUCCAAUUCCUUAUGGUGAUCCUAUUCUAAAGGAUAAGGUUUGGAAAUUAAAUAUAAUGCCCAAACUUAACCAUUUUCUUUGGCGUAUUCUAUCAAAGGCUAUUGGAACAACUACAAGACUAAAUUCAAGAGGAAUGAAUUUAGAUCCUAUCUGCCAGAGAUGUGGAUUGGCAGAAGAGACAAUCGACCAUUGUUUUUUCACGUGCCCCGAUUCAAUAUGUAUUUGGAGACUUUCAAAUCUACCUUUUAUGGGUCCAUUAUUAACAAAUGAUUCUAUGGACAAUAAAAUCGGGUUUCUGCUGAAUAUUCAGGGCGUACAAUCUCUUUCUCUUUAUCAACGGUUAUUACCUUUUUGGUUACUAUGGCGUAUAUGGAAAAAGAGGAAUUUCCUUCUUUUUAGGAAACAAAUACUGCAACCAAAUGUCAUAGUGGACAAUGCUUGCGCUGACGUAAGAGAAUGGAUAUCUCAUUUAUGUUCAUCAUCUCCUACAGUAAACAAUACAAGUGUAGGUUCUUCUUUGCAUGCCUUAUCAUCAUGGAAACGUCCAGAUCAGGGUUUUCUAAAAUGUAAUUACGAUGCUGCAUAUGAUUUAAAUUCGAACCAAGUUCGAGGUGCAUGGAUUAUCCGGAACUGUUAUGGUCAUCCUUAUAUGUGGGGUUCGGCUAAUUUGGGGUUCGCUAAUUCCAGUUUAGUUGCAGAGACAAUGGCUUUACUGGUGGCAAUGCAGAAUGCUUGGAUAGGAGGAUAUAGUGAUAUGAUUUUCGAAGGGGACUCAGAAAUCUUGGUUACAACGAUUAAUGAUCAUCUAACAAAUCCAACCAUUCAGAAUCUUCUUGAAGAAAUUAAUAGAUUGAAGAAUAGGCUUUCUACAACAACAUUUACUUUUGUCAAACGUAAUGGAAAUCAAGCCGCGCAUGAAAUUGUUCGCCAUGGUCCAGCAAAUUCUAUUUUUGAAAAUUGUAAAGUUUAUCCACCUAAGUGGUUAACUCCAACUUUGUAUUCAGAUAUUAUGCUUUCAUAUUAAUAAAAUUUAAGUUUGUCGAAAAAAAAAAGUGGGCCAUUGUUUUGGCCUCUGAUCUUUUAUAUGUAUGCCGUAUGGGCUUGUAUGGUUUUUAAAUGACCUUGUUUUUGGACUUGUAUGUGAAAUAUUCUCUACUUAAUAAAAUAAUAGUGAAAAAAAAAAAAGAAUCAAGCAAUCGUGGUAUCAACUCUUCUCCUUCUUCUUCCAACAUUGGAUAUUACCUGACGAAAUCACUUUGGGAGAUCUAUGAAAUGCCUUGGUUGCUGCUGGAAGUCGAUGCAUGUGUACUAAUACUGUUGAGGACUAACCAAUGUAUGUUUUGAUAAUAACAUAAAAAAUACUCAAAGUCUAAGCCCCAGUUUACUUAUAUAAUUAUAUGAAAUACUCGGUAUUUAAAAAAAAACAAAAAAAAUUACUCGGUAUUUUAACCGGUUGAAUCCAAAACUUUUUGUAUUAAAAAGUAGACCCGAUCCUGAGUGUGAUGAUUACCUGCGGAAUGAGUGGACCAACAAGCACUUCUUGGUCAGAAAAGAAAGGGAAGAAAUCGAUAUCAUGAAGUUAUACAAUGAAUAUCGAUUGUAUUCCCCAUAAUUUUAAGAUGUAAGACCAUCUUCAAUAGUUACUCUAUUUUUUCGUAUAAAAUAAAGUAACUCUAUUAUAAUAGAGUUAGAUGUUGUUUUAAUAAUAUUCUAUUUUAAAGUAAAAAACAGAGCAGUGAACAAAAAAUAAAAAAAAUUACUUUAUAUAUAGGAUACAAAAUAGAUUUACACUAUUAUAAAUUAGAAAAUAAAGUACCAAUAAAGCAUUUUUACUUUAAAUUCUAUUUUAGAGAAAGAAAUAUAGUGGGGGGUUAGAAAUGCCCUAAUCAAAUCUUCUUCAGAUCCCUUCUACUUUAACCUAAAAGGAGAUUCCGAUUACAUGUAUUGUAGCAUUGGACCCACUGA